GGGACUAAAGGGUUGGUCCUAGUAGCGGUCAGAGUUUAGUCCCACCUCGCCAACCGAAGGGCGCUCACACCGGUUUAUAAGCCCGUCCCUCUCUGCCUUGUUGAGCUCCUCUCAAAGUGAAAAUAGAUGCCCUUAUACAGGGAAUUUGACCUAAAUUCACAGUAAAUUUCAUAGAAUUAUUAUGAAUUUAGGUUGAAUUUUCUCUAUAGGCGCAUCUAUGUUCAACUUUUAUAGUAAAUAAAAUAAAUAAACCUUAAUAAAAUAAAAUAAAAUAAACUAUAGUAACUAAAAUAAAUAAACCUUAAUAAAUUAAAUAAAAAUAGCAGCAGUAAAAUAAAUAAAAAUAAAUACAUAAGUAAUUAGAAACAAAAUGGAAUAAAAUAAAUAAGUUUUUUGUUGUAAGUAGAAACAAAACAAAAUAAAUAAAGCAAAAGAGAAAACAAAAAACAGGGAAAAAAAUUAUGCCACCUACUGGGCCACCAUGGCCUGAAAACGACUUGAAACCCAUCCAUGGGCCAGGAUUCAGGCCCGCAGAAGGCCCAGUAGGCCCCAUAGGCAAAGAGAACGGUUAGGCCCGAAAGCCUGCAGUUGAGAGGAGCUCGAGAGGGUGGGCGCAGCAGCGCUUAUAAACCACUUUCGAGCUCUCUCAACUAGCGAGGUGGGACUAAACUUUUGACGCGGGGCAGCACAAGGCCUUUAGUCCCGGUUGGUGCCACGAACCGGGACCAAUGAGUUGCCUAUAUAUACCCCAUCGCCACAGCAGAGCACUCCACAGUGCUCUGUUUUUUCUGGCCGGCGAGGGGAGGGCAUUUGUGUGCUCUAGCUCACCUCCUAUGCACAUGAGGUGUUCGAUGAAAUGUCUGAGCCACACUAGUUAAUCUUUCUCCUCUCGAAACUCGACCUACGAGCUCCAUUUUCCCCGAGAUUUGUCUAGGUUUAGCGGUCCGUCACGUCCCGUCCCCAUCUUCACCGCCGUCGACCGCCCGCGCCGAUCUCGUCGCCAGCACCACCGUGGUGAGCCUCUUGUUCUUAUCUUCUUUCUGAAAGAAAAAAAAUUCUUACUUUAGAUAGAUACUUGUCUAAUUUUGUUACUUUUAUUAUUCCUUCUUAUUACAUAGUGCGAUGGUUUUGGUAUCCGCCCCCGUCGGCCCUCGUCAUGUCUAUGAUUCGGAUGUGGUAUAUAUUAUCUUUUUAUAACUAUUUGGUUCAUUUAUUGUUUAUGACAAAUAUGUCGACCAACGUGACAUAGAUUUUAUUUAUCUAGGAGGUGGUUGAACCGAAAAUUCUAACCGACCCUAUUGUCGAGAGGUUAAAUUUAGUUGAAGAAGAAAACAAUUACUUGAAGGGAAAAAUAAAAAAAAUUGAGGAGGAGAAGAUGAUAUUGGAGUUGCAUGUUGCGGAUGUCGUCGAUGAUCACAAGAUCAAGAUGGAUGCAAUGCGCUUGAAGAUUAGAAAGAUUAGAAAAUAUGCCAUUCAUACCGAGGCUUGGUAUCAUUAUGCCGUUGGAUCAAUUGUUACCUUGGUUGCCAUUAUGAUCGCAUUUGUUUUCGCAUUGAAAUGUUUUACAUAGUUUCAAUGUAUGGUUUAAUUAAUUAGAUUCUCUGGAGAGCUAUAUAUAUGUUGUUAGAUGAGAACUAUGUAUGUACUUUGGUUUUAAUGUGAUGAUGAACUUCUAUUAAUUUGGUCACUUAAUUAUCUAUUCAUGAUGUUCUGUAAUGGUUUUUGACACACUUACUUAUAUAUAAUGCACGCAGAUGAACCGGCAAUGGAUGUACGGUGACAGACACACCUCCGAGUACAUUAAGGGCGUGCAUGAUUUUCUCGAAGUGGCUGAGGCAAACAAGCAGAAUGAUUUUAUGUGUUGUCCAUGCCCUAUAUGUGGGAAUACGAAGUCUUACUCUGACCGGAAAAUCCUUCACACCCACCUGCUUUACAAGGGUUUCAUGCCACACUAUAAUGUUUGGACGAGGCACUGAGAAAUAGGGGUUAUGAUGGAAGACGGCGAAGAAGAAGAGGACGAUGACAACUAUGUGCCCCCUGAAUAUGGUGAUGCUGCAACGGGGGAAGCUGCUGAAGAUCAAGAGGAACCAGACGAUGUGCCCAAUGAUGCUGCAAGGGGGGAAGCUGCUGAAGAUCAAGAGGAACCAGUGCCCGAUGAUGAUGAUCUCCGCCGGGUCAUUGUCGAUGCAAGGAUGCAAUGCGAAAGUCAAAAGGAGAAGCUGAAGUUCGAUCGCAUGUUAGAGGAUCACAAAAAAGGGUUGUACCCCAAUUGCGAAGAUGGCAACACAAAGCUCGGUACCGUACUGGAAUUGCUGCGGUGGAAGGCAGAGAAUGCUGUGCCUGACAAAGGAUUUGAGAAGCUAUUGAAAAUAUUGAAGAAGAAGCUUCCAAAGGAUAACGAAUUGCCCGACAGUACAUACGCAGCAAAGAAGGUCGUAUGCCCUCUAGGAUUGGAGGUGCAGAAGAUACAUGCAUGCCCUAAUGACUGCAUCCUCUACCGCGGUGCGUACAAGGAUCUGAACGCAUGCCCGGUAUGCGGUGCAUUGCGGUAUAAGAUCAGACGAGAUGACCCUGGUGAUGUUGAUGGUGAGCCCCCCUGGAAGAGGGUUCCUGCGAAGGUGAUGUGGUAUGCUCCUAUAAUACCAUGGUUGAAACGUCUAUUCAGAAACGAAGAGCAUGCCAAGUUGAUGCGAUGGCACAGUGAGGACCGUAAGAAAGACGGGAAGUUGACAGCACCCGCUGACGGGUCGCAGUGGAGAAAAAUCGAGAGAAAGUACUGGGCUGAGUUUGCAGCUGACCCAAGGAACGUAUGGUUUGGUUUAAGCGCGGAUGGCAUUAAUCCUUUCGGGGAGCAAAGCAGCAAUCACAGCACCUGGCCCGUGACUCUAUGUAUGUAUAACCUUCCUCCUUGGAUGUGCAUGAAGCGGAAGUUCAUUAUGAUGCCAGUUCUCAUCCAAGGCCCUAAGCAACCCGGCAACGACAUUGAUGUGUACCUAAGGCCAUUAGUUGAAGAACUUUUACAGCUGUGGAAUGGAAACGGUGUACGUACGUGGGAUGAGCACAAACAGGAGGAAUUUAACCUGCACGCGCUGCUGUUUGUAACCAUCAACGAUUGGCCCGCUCUCAGUAACCUUUCAGGACAGACAAACAAGGGAUACCAUGCAUGCACGCACUGUUUAGAUGACACUGAAAGUAUAUACCUGGACAAAAGCAGGAAGAAUGUGUACCUGGGCCAUCGUCGAUUUCUUCCGACCAAUCAUCAAUGUCGAAAGAAAGGCAAGCAUUUCAAAGGCGAGGCAGAUCACCGGAAGAAGCCCGCCAUGCGUACCGGUGAUCACGUACUUGCUAUGGUCAAUGAUUUACACGUAAUCUUUGGAAAGGGUCCCGGCGGACUAGCUGUUCCGAAUGACGCUGAGGGACACGCACCCAUGUGGAAGAAGAAAUCUAUAUUUUGGGACCUACCCUACUGGAAAGAGCUAGAGGUCCGCUCUUCAAUCGACGUGAUGCACGUGACAAAGAACCUUUGCGUGAACCUGCUAGGCUUCUUGGGCGUGUAUGGGAAGACAAAAGAUACACCUGAGGCACGGGAGGACCUGCAACGUUUGCACGAAAAAGACGGCAUGCCUCCGAAGCAGUAUGAAGGUCGUGCCAGCUAGGCUCUUACGAAAGAAGAGAAAGAAAUCUUCUUUGAAUGCCUGCUCAGUAUGAAGGUCCCGACUGGCUUCUCGUCGAAUAUAAAGGGAAUAAUAAAUAUGCCAGAGAAAAAGUUCCAGAACCUAAAGUCUCAUGAAUGCCACGUGAUUAUGACGCAACUGCUUCCGGUUGCAUUGAGGGGGCUUCUACCGGAAAACGCCCGAUUAGCCAUUCUGAAGCUAUGUGCAUUCCUCAAUGCAAUCUCUCAGAAGGUGAUCGAUCCAGAAAUCAUACCAAGGCUAAGGAGUGAUGUGGCGCAAUGUCUUGUCAGUUUCGAGCUGGUGUUCCCACCAUCCUUCUUCAAUAUCAUGACGCACGUCCUAGUUCAUCUAGUCGACGAGAUUGUCAUUCUGGGGCCCGUAUUUCUACACAAUAUGUUCCCCUUUGAGAGGUUCAUGGGAGUCCUAAAGAAAUAUGUCCGUAACCGCGCUAGGCCAGAAGGAAGCAUCUCCAUGGGCCAUCAAACAGAGGAUGUCAUUGGGUUUUGUGUUGACUUCAUUCUUGGCCUUAAGAAGAUAGGUCUCCCUAAAUCGCGGUAUGAGGGGAGACUGACUGGAAAAGGCACGCUUGGAGGGGGGGACUCAAUAAUAUGCAGGGACGGAUAUUCUUGGUCUCAAGCACACUACACAGUUCUACAGAACUCUACCUUGGUGACCCCGUAUGUCGAUGAACACAAGAACAGUCUGCGCUCCAAACACCCGGAGCAGUGUGACGACUGGAUUACAUGUGAACACAUCAGGACUUUCAGCAGUUGGUUGGAAACACGUCUCAGAGGUGACACCACUGUUUGUGAUGAGUUGUACUCGUUGUCCAGGGGACCAUCUUCGACUGUAUUGACUUACAAAGGAUACGAGAUAAAUGGGAAUAUAUUUUACACGAUCGCCCAAGAUCAAAAGAGCACCAACCAAAACAGCGGUGUCCGCUUUGAUGCAGCAACUGAGAGGGGAAAGGACACAUAUUAUGGUUACAUAAUGGACAUAUGGGAACUUGACUACAGACAUGAUUUUAAGGUCCCUUUGCUUAAGUGCAAAUGGGUCAAUCUGUCAGGAGGCGGGGUACAGGUAGACCCACAGUACGGAAUGACAACAGUGGAUCUGAACAAUCUUGGGUACACUGACGAACCGUUCGCCCCAGCCAAUGAUGUGGCACAGGUUAUCUAUGUGAAGGACAUGUCUACCAGACCGAGAAAAAGAAAAGAUAACGAAGCGAAUACAUCAUACGAUGAGCCAAAGCGCCACAUAGUUCUUUCAGGAAAAAGGGACAUUGUGGGAGUGGAGGGCAAGACAGACAUGUCUGAAGAUUAUGAAAAGUUUCAUGAAAUUCCUCCCUUCAAAGUCAAGGCUGACCCAAGCAUCCUGAGAAACGAUGAAGAUUAUCCAUGGUUACGGCGCAAUAAGCAAAUGACACAAGCGAAGAAAAAGUGAAGACUUUCUCCCGCAACUAUUAUGAUGAUACCAUGCCAACUUUGUAAUAGACGAGUAUGAUACCAUUGUCCGUUUUGUACACAAAGUGCAUCUAGUUUUUGCCAUAACCCUGUCAACUUUCUUGCACAUGCUAUGUGGAUGAAAUGAUGAUACCAUGCCAACUUUCAACCUUUUCAGAGUUCAUUUGAAAUGCUUUUCAAUUAGGGUCUUAUAGCUCCAAAUAAUUAGUAAAUGCAUGAAAAAUAACAAAUGAAGUCAGAAAGGGUUGAAAAUUGAUGAGAUGUGGCUUUGAAUGGUGCAUUUUGAACACACAAAAAGUCAGGAGUUCAAAUAAGUUUUAAAAAAUGAAAUCCCUUUGUAACAGACGAGUUUCCGUAUGAAAUCCUGAUACUUCGAAAGAGAUUGUCCGUUUUGUACACGAAGUGCAUCCAGUUUUUGCCGUAACCCUCUCAACUUUCUUGCACAUGCUAUGUGGAUGAAAUGAUGAUACCAUGCCAACUUUCAACCUUUUCAGAGUUCAUUUGAAAUGCUUUUCAAUUUUAGGGUCUUAUAGCUCAAAAUAAUCAGUAAAUGCAUGAAAAAUAACAAAUAAAAUAAAUAAGUAAUUAGAAACAAAAUAAUAUAAACUUUAAUAAAAUAUAUAAGUAGAAACAAAAUAAAAUAAACUUUAAUAACAUAAAUAAAAUUUAUGAAACUAAAAUUAUCAAAGUAUUUUCUGUACAAAACAUUAUAAGCAACCUCUAGUAUUAUUGAAACUAAAAUUAUAUAAAAUUGAUGCAACUAAAAUUAUCGAAGUAUUUUCUAUUCAAAAUCGUUGAAAGCAAAAAUAAUUUUCAUAAAGAACUUUUUUUGUUAGAAACUUUAAUAGCAAAAAGAAUUAUCAUAAAGUAAAAUAAAUAAGUAAUUAGAAACAAAAUAAAAUAAAAUAAAUAAGUUUUUUGUUGUAAGUAGAAACAAAACAAAAUAAAUAAAACAAAAAACAAGGAAAAAAUAAAAAAUUAUGCCACCUACUGGGCCACCACGGCCUGAAUACGACUAGAAACCAAUCCAUGGGCCAGGAUUCAGGCCUGCAGAAGGCCCAGUAGGCCCACAGGCAUGUACAGAGACGUUAGGCCCGUAAGCCUGCUUUAGAGAGGAGCUCGACAGCUCAGGCACACCGCACCUUAUAAACAGGUGCGGCUCUCUCUCAGCUAGCGAGGUGGGGCUAAACUCCCACCACCACGCCGCUGUGCAAGGCCAUUGGUCCCGGUUGGUGGCACGAACCGGGAGCAAUGCCCCCUUUGGUCCCGGUUCGUGGCACCAACCGGAACCAAUGCCCCCCCUUUAGUCUCGGUUGGUGCCACCAACCGGGAAGCGUCGGCCUUUGGUCCCGGUUGGUGGCACCAACUAGGACUAAAGGGGGCAUUAGUCCCGGUUGGUGCCACGAACCGAGACUAAUGCUUGGACUAUAUAUCAAACACUUGUGAAAAAUUUUAGUUUNNNNNNNNNNNNNNNNNNNNNNNNNNNNNNNNNNNNNNNNNNNNNNNNNNNNNNNNNNNNNNNNNNNNNNNNNNNNNNNNNNNNNNNNNNNNNNNNNNNNNNNNNNNNNNNNNNNNNNNNNNNNNNNNNNNNNNNNNNNNNNNNNNNNNNNNNNNNNNNNNNNNNNNNNNNNNNNNNNNNNNNNNNNNNNNNNNNNNNNNNNNNNNNNNNNNNNNNNNNNNNNNNNNNNNNNNNNNNNNNNNNNNNNNNNNNNNNNNNNNNNNNNNNNNNNNNNNNNNNNNNNNNNNNNNNNNNNNNNNNNNNNNNNNNNNNNNNNNNNNNNNNNNNNNNNNNNNNNNNNNNNNNNNNNNNNNNNNNNNNNNNNNNNNNNNNNNNNNNNNNNNNNNNNNNNNNNNNNNNNNNNNNNNNNNNNNNNNNNNNNNNNNNNNNNNNNNNNNNNNNNNNNNNNNNNNNNNNNNNNNNNNNNNNNNNNNNNNNNNNNNNNNNNNNNNNNNNNNNNNNNNNNNNNNNNNNNNNNNNNNNNNNNNNNNNNNNNNNNNNNNNNNNNNNNNNNNNNNNNNNNNNNNNNNNNNNNNNNNNNNNNNNNNNNNNNNNNNNNNNNNNNNNNNNNNNNNNNNNNNNNNNNNNNNNNNNNNNNNNNNNNNNNNNNNNNNNNNNNNNNNNNNNNNNNNNNNNNNNNNNNNNNNNNNNNNNNNNNNNNCCCUCGAAGUGAGCCCCCCCUUUCCCAUGGUCCCGAUCGAGCGCCGCUCUUGCGCCCGAGUGCCCCUUGCUCUCUGCCGCCCCUGCUCCAUGGUCGCCGCCGGCCCCGACGCAUUGAAGAGCAGAAGGAGAGGAGAAGGAGAGGAGAGGAGAAGGAGUGGAGCAGCAGCAAGACGCCGUCCAAUUUUCUGAUUUUUUUUACAAAUAUGAACAGUGCAUAUAGAGGGUGUUUGAUCAAAUGCUAGAUGGCUUUGGGCAUUUUUAGAAUUUAUGAUAUUUUUAGAAUGUGCUAAAUAUGUCAAAAAAGUUUUUUUGUUCAUAUACAGAAAGUUUUUUAUAUAUGACUAUGGAUAUAUGAGCAAUGAUGAUCCAUGGAUGUAUGCAUUGAUAUAUAUGAGAAACGAUGUUCAUAGAAUAUUUACCAAGUAUAUAUGUAUUUUUGUUCAUAGCAUUUUUUCCAUUCAUAUAUGUAUGUGGCUAUAGAUGGAUAUAUAUGAGAAAUGAUGAUCCAUGGAAAAGUUUUAUAUAUGCAAAAGUUACAUUUUUAGAAAAGUUUUAUAUAUCUAGCUAGGAAAGGAAGAAGAAGAAAAAGAAGGAGAGGAAAAAGGAAAAUAAGAAGAGGAAGAAAGGAGAAGAAGAGGAGAGGAAGAAGAGGAGAAAUAAAUAAGAAGAGGAAAAAAGAAGGAAAAGAAGAGGAGAGAAGAAAGGAAUAGAAGAGAAGAAGAAAAAAUAGAAAAAAUUCUAUUUUUUCUUCGUCUCUCCUCUAUUCCUUUCUUCUUCUCCUCUUUUUUUCUUCUUUUUUUCUUCGAUCUUCUCCUCUAUUCCUUUCUUCUUCUCCUCUUUUUAUUUCUUCUUCGUUUUCUUAUGUUUUAUCGGGUCUGUCGUCGUCGAUAUACCCCUCUCCCGAUAACUUCAACACGAGGGGGGGUCGAUAUACCCCUCCCCGAUAAUAUUAUUUUCCCAUGUACGUAUGUCGUCGUUGUCGAUAUAACCCCCUCCCGAUAACUUCAACACGUGGGGGGGGUCGAUAUACCCCCUCCCCGAUAACAUUAUUUUCCCAUGUAUGUAUGUCGUCGUUGUCGAUAUAUAUAACUCCCUCCCAGAUAACUUCGACAUGAUGGACGGUCGAUAUUUAUACCCCCUCUCGACCGUGACAACUUAUACCACGGGAGCACCCCCCGGCCCUCUCGCUCGACCAAAACUCUCGAGGACACCCAAACCCUAGAAAAAACGAUGUCGGUCUCCUAGCCCCUCCCGCCGCGCCCCUACCCUUGAAGCGUUGCCGAGGCCACCUCAAACCCGGAAUAAGCUAGGUCUACGUUUGCACUAAUAUAUCCACCUGCUGUCAUGUUUGUGUAAUAAUUGCCAUGUUGUAAUAUUUGCAGAAACAAUGGAGCACGGACGAGACGAGCAAGCAGAAGAGGUGUUGGGGUACAUAAUCUUAGCCGGAGGUGAUAUCUUGUCGUAUCUUAACGACAAUGAUGGUCUGGAAGAACAGGGUGAAGAAGCAGGCUACGGUGAUCGAAGAGUGGAGGAGAAAAGACAUGAUUAUGAUGGCUCCGGUGACCCAAUGCUGGUGCAAGAAGGAGCCCGUGGUGACGGCUCCGGUGACCGAACAGAGUCCGGCCAGGUAAAUAUAUUAGUUAAGCCUGUGCUGACUAGCUAAUUGAUGCAUUCAUUGUUUUGGUAUGUACACAUAUUAAUUAACACUCGUCUUUCUUCUUUUUUCUAGCCCUCCGGAUCGAGCACAACUGUGGUAAAGAGACGAGGCCCGAAGAGAAAGUUGCGCUCGGAUGAAAGGCUUGAGAUCACAGCAAUCGCGCGCGACGGCCAACCGAUUGAACCCAUCCGGACAAAGGAUGCAUUUGCUGCUCAGUGCGGGGUUCUAGUUAGGGACAAGAUCCCGAUCAGCAUCUAGCAAUGGUAUAAGCCUAAGAAGGAAGACCCUGAGGUGUCUUAUGUCAAUGAUAUGCAGAAAGAUGAUCUUUGGACUGAGCUGAAGGCAAAUUUCACCCUACCGCCAGAGGAGGAUCCGGAGAAGCCAGUUAAAGAGCAAUUAAUCAAGUCUCAUGCUCUUAAGAAGAUGGCAGACCUAUUCAGGAGGUGGAAGAAUGAGCUGAAAACGUGUGUCGACAAAGAAGAGACACCAGAAUUCAUCGGCCGGUAUGAGAAGAUCAGAGAUCACUGGCCCGCAUUUGUGGCCCACAAGACAUCGGAAAAGAGUAAGAAGAUGUCAGCGACAAACAAGAAGAAUGCUGCGAAGAAGAAGCUUCACCAUCGCACGGGGUCAGGUGGCUACCUCAAAGCCCGGCCUAAGUGGGCCAAGGCUGAGAAUGAUCUGCUUGAAAAAGGGAUCGAACCACAGACAAUGAACUGGACAGACCGUUGCCGGACUUGGUUCUUCGGGGCUGGCGGAACCUUGGACCCUGUAUCAGGGAGGUGCGUUUGGACGAACGAGCUUUUGAGAAUACCAGUCAAGAAGAUUCAGCAAUAUAUCGAUGCAGCGCAGGAAGGGACGUUUGUUCCAGACAGAGAGAACGACGAGCUCACAAUGGCCCUCGGGGAUCCUGAGCACCCUGGACGGACACGAGGCACGCCAGGUUCCGUUCCGUGGAAGGCUGGUUUUCCGGACGCAGGCGGUUACAAAAGCCAGGAGAGGAGGAAAAAAAUGGAGCAGACCCAAAUUCAGAAGCUGCACGAAAGGGUUCAAGCGCUAGAGGAACGAGACGGCAAUCGACAUGCCGAAACUACCCCCGAAGCUACCCCGCCAUCUCAGCGGAGAAGCGGCGUGGCUUCCACCGAGCUGCUUCAGCCGGAGCAUGUCUUGACGGCUCCUGCUAGCUACCCCGUGGAUGCUAUCAUGGAGUCUCAACAUUGCCACCUUAUGGCGGAAUGGCAAAAAUUCAAAGUCAAGGCGGCUGUUGGCUCUGUUUUACCUCCUGAACCCGGCGCAACCUACCACUGCCGGCCGAUUCCAGAAGGAUAUGCUAGGGUGAUGGUGGAUGAAAUAACGGAGGGAUUUGAGGACCUCCAGCUUGACCACCCUACCGGUGAAGGGGAGACUCGACUGGGUUUAGCUCUGAAGACUCCGUGCCUAUGGUGGAAGGAGCUCAUUAACCUUCCGAACUGGACGCCUCCGGCGAGUAAGGGCACUCCGCCGCCGCCUCCUCCUCCGGCGAGUGAUUAGGGCACUCAGCCUCCUUCUCCGGCGCGUGGCGGCACUCCGCCUCCUCCUCCGGCAAGUGAUCAGGGCACUCAGCCUCCUUCUCCGGCGCGUGCGGCACUCCGCCUCCUUCUCCGCCCGCGCCGGCGUGCCAGAGCAGCCAGCCUCCUCCUUCUCCGCCUCGUCAGCAAGGGCAGAAGAGACCCGCCGCCGCUCCGGCUGCUCCGGCGCGUUGUAGUCCUUCUCCUCCGCCUCGUAAGCAAGGAAAGAAGACAGCCGCAGCCGCUCCGUCUGCUCUGCCGGCGUCUAGCAGUACAGUUGCCAGAGGCGGGAGGCAAUACAGAUUCAGUCCUUCUCUGAAGACUCCAGAGAAGUUACCAUACGAGAGGACCGAGGAGGAGAACGCGAAGAUCGUGCGAGCCGAAGUGAAGAACUUCUUUGAAGGGGUGAAAGCAAAGAAACAUCCACCUCCGGCGGAGAAGGUAGAUCCGGUGAAAGCGAAGCGCACUCUGGAUGCCCUGACAAAACCACCAAAGUCUCCGCCGAAAGGCUACUAUGAGCGCAUUAUUGCAAAGACAUUUGUCGAAGCGGAGCGGUCGGGAAGUACUGUCAGUGAUCAAAGGUUAAAAGAACGACGAGCUGGGAAAAAAAUUGCCCAGCUCGGCGAACCAGCGAACCAAUCGUGCCCCCCGCUCAAGGUGUCUAAAGACAUCGUCGCUAAUGAUCCGAGGAUGGUGGCCGGUUAUAGCAAUCUUGGAGAUUACCUGCCUGACGAUGUACAUUAUGAAAUCAUGGAGGUGGACGAACACAAAUACCAUUACGGGAAGCCUCUCGUCAAAGAUGAAAGAUCUCUAACAACGAUGAUGCGAAGAUUACAUGAUUGAUACAUGAAAACCUGCAGAGAGUCUGAUGGGAUGAAUACUUUGACGCUGAGAGUUAAACUGGAGCAUGACCUCGUUGGAAUUGAACUGCUGAAUGUUCCAUUUGAGGAGUUCUUCCAGUUUUUCAAUCAAAAGGCCCUCGAUAAAUCAACGAUCACUUGCUACUAUCUGUAAGUAGUACUACUUUUGUCAUUAAGUCUCUCUAUAUAGGUCAGCUCUUUCAUUGCAUGUAUUUAUAAUUAUCCUCACUAUAUUAGGCAGAUUGAAGAUCGCCGAAUUGAAGAAAAGACAAAUCGGUGAUAUUGGGUUCAUUAACACAAAUCUCAUAGAUGCAUAUAUGGUUGAAAAACAUGCCAAAGGAGCCGAGGCCAACUUGCUACGAUCGUUGGUAUUAAAUCAAAACAAAGAUAUAAUACUCUUUCCUUACAACUUCAAGUGAGUGUUACUGUCUUGUGCAUAUUCGGUUUCCCUUAUUAGUCCAGGUUAUGGUAAUGUAAUUGAUGACUUAUGCAUGCAUGCGCAGCUUCCACUAUAUUCUCCUAGAGAUUAAGCUUCAGCAGGGAGUAGUAACCGUCUUAGACUCGAGACGAAAAGAUCCCCAGGACUAUGCGAACAUGACUCAAAUGCUCGAGAAGUAAGUUAAAUCGAUCAUUAUCCACCAUAUCAGCAACUUUGUUCAUUUCCUGAUAUCAAGUAAUUGUUUUCUUUGUCUGGCAGGGUUUGGAGAAAAUUCACCACAAAAGCUCCGGGGCUGCCGAAGAAGCUGCAAUUUAAACACCCGAAAGUAAGUACUAUAGUAGCAUGUUCUGCGCAUCUCCUAGUGAUUCAAGCGCUAGUUUCAUCAAUACCAUUUAGCAUGCUUGCUUAUCAGUUAGAUUGACCUUUAUUUCUUGUAAAGUGGUUGUGGCAGGAACAAGGGAAUGAUUUCUGUGGAUACUACGUUUGCGAGUCUAUCCGCCACACGACCUGUGAGCGGGGCUAUUCUGACGAACAAUAUGAAGUGCGUAAGCAAUAAUAUUCACAAUUUUAUUUUAUUACCACCAUUUGUGUCGAGUUUCAUUUAUUCAUAUAUAUAUAUGUAUUGACCCCCUUCUUCAAAUUACAUGUUUCGGAUGCGGGAUGAACUCCUAGCAGAAGAUCGUAUGCGAGCAAUUCAAGAGGAAUUGGCGGCAUUCUUCCUUGACCACGUGAUCGCUGGAAAUGGAGAAUACUAUGUGGACCCUGUGUUCUUACAAUUUAAUUAGGAGAUUAUAUUGUAAGAGAUAAUUAUUGUAUAUAUGUAGCCGGUAGUGUCAGAUAGAUAUACGAGAACUUGUUGUUCAACCAAUCUCUUGGAGAAGGAGAGGUGGUCGAUAUCACUUCUCUCUGUAUGCAUAUGUUCAUGAUGAUCUUCUGUUUUCUUCAUUUGCUUACUAGCUAGCGUGUCUAGUCCUCUCCAUACGUAUAUAGUACGUAGCGUCGACCAAGCACGGAGAUAAGAGAGGACACUUCUCUCUAUUAAUUAGCUAGCUAACACAAUAUAUGAAACACCUAAAUNNNNNNNNNNNNNNNNNNNNNNNNNNNNNNNNNNNNNNNNNNNNNNNNNNNNNNNNNNNNNNNNNNNNNNNNNNNNNNNNNNNNNNNNNNNNNNNNNNNNNNNNNNNNNNNNNNNNNNNNNNNNNNNNNNNNNNNNNNNNNNNNNNNNNNNNNNNNNNNNNNNNNNNNNNNNNNNNNNNNNNNNNNNNNNNNNNNNNNNNNNNNNNNNNNNNAAAAACCCCAGCCCCUGAAAUGCUGACGCGUGGAUGCCUAUUGGUCCCGGUUGGUGACACCAACCGGGACAAAAGGCCCUGCCUAUUGGUCCCGGUUGGUGGCACCAACCGGGACCAAAGGCCCCCCGCCUGGGCUGGCAGCAGCGGCCACGUGGAGGACCUUCUGUCCCGGUUCGUGUAAGAACCGGGACUAAAGGGUUAGGGCUUUAGUAACGACCCUUUAGUCCUGGUUUGAAAACCGGGACAAAAGGCCCUUACCAACCGGGGUAAAAGCCCCUUUUCCUACUAGUGUGUUAAACAUUUCUGAAUAAUUUAGUGAGCUAAAAAUAAAAAAGUUAAGAAUAACAAAUUGGAAAAUAUGAACUGCAAGCCACCUGUGGAUCUUUGUUGUAUGCAUUAUUCUCAAAGGAAUGGGCUGACGAUUAGUUAUGUCACUCACCCACUCACUCUUAUUGACCUACAAGGGUGCUAAAUCAACACCAGCAACACAGAUGCUUCUUGUAAGUAAUAGAUGACCAUUUUACAAUGUUUUUGCUCAUUGGCCUUGUGUGAAGUAUUUUAUUGAGUUAAUUGCACAAAUCACAUGUAUUAGAGCUAAGAUAACACAUAACCAUAUGUUUGGCCAUUUUUUUAGAAAGUCGUCAUCGAUCCCAAAUUGCACGCUUCAUAAGGUUUGGAAGAAAUCCUGAAAUCAAGGGGCCGAUAGUGAUACCAUCCAUGUGGCCUUAGCUCCACGUACCUAUAGUGUUCCGCGGUGGGUAAAACUAUACCUGUUUUUCCUUAUCAUAUAGUGGCAUCAAAUCAAUGUGAAUAAAGAGUAUAGACCCACCAACCAACCCAACUGACAUUGUCCUAAUGGGCGUGCAUAUAUACAUCGCUAGCUUCAACAAGUGGUGGCAAGCUCGAUCGUCUACUACUAUAAGAUUGGUUUCGAAUGGGAAAGACAAAGGAAGUACUAGCCCAAAGACAUGAGAUGAGAAGAGGACUGGAGGAGGAUUUGAAAUUAAAAGCAUUUAGGGAGUAGGAGGCGUCAUGAAAGAGGGCAAUGGUGCUCAGCGGAGAACAUGAUGAUCCACUGCUAUCACGAGUUACUUGAAGCUAAAAAUUGGCACCAUCAAUGAAGAUAAGUGUAAUUCAAUGUAUAAUUGCAAGUAGCAUGAGAGAAACCGAGAAAUGCUGAGUAGCAUCCAGGAGCUCCCCUCACUGAUAUGUGUGCAUUCUCUACACCUUAGGAUCGCUUUCCAUUGCACUAAUAACAGACAUUUACUCCCAUAUGUGACAUUUUCAAUCCUACACAUCCCAUAUGUGUCAUUUCUCUACCAAGUCAUAUACCACCUUGUUGUAGUUGUCCUUCCCUGUUCAACCAUCCUCUUCAUCUCCUGGUCCGCACCUACGAUAUGUGCUCUUGUACGGCGGCUGUCCCAACACAUCAAGCCUUGGAGGAAGGAAGGAUAAAAGCACUCAUGAGGGGAGAACGAUGAAGCAUCAAAGAAAUGAACCGAAGAAACUUUGUCUGCGUUGCUGCUUGCUCCUUAUUCUUCCCAAUCCUGUAUCCUUCCUUAGUCUCAUUAUAUAUUCUCCACAAGCGACUACUGUACACUCAACCCACGUCUGGCGAUUGCCAUGGCAACGGGUUGUGAGUUGUGACAACAUAAUCUUCUUCAGCUGUGUUUUCCUUCUUUUUCCUCUUUCUGAAAUCACCAGCGUUACAAGCAACAUGUUCAGUUCAGGUGGCAUGUCGCAUGCCAGGCACAUACAUAUUCCUCCAAGAACAAAGCCUCUCCGCUGCCCCCGUUGUUGUGUUCUCUCCUGAUCAUCCUCAUGGCCUAUUAUCAGUACAUAUGAAUUAGGCUUUUUGUGUGUAAAGUUCAUGCUGAUGCACUUUUAUUUGUGCAAACUGCAACUUGGGAGCUUGCUCGUAAGAACCUCAAUUUCUCGAUUACAGAUUAAUAGCAUUGCUUUUCUCGUAAGAGAUUUAUAAUGAAGUUCUUUUGGUGGAGUUUUUAGCUAGCAACACUUGGCUAGUCUCAAUAGAUUUGCAUGCAUAGGCAGGGGCAGAUGGUGCUUUGGCUUUUCUGAUAUUUGGCUACAAUUGUUGCUGCUUUCUUGGAGCAUAAGGUUAAUCUAUGCAUCAAUUUGGCACGCAUCUCUCUGCUACCGAAAGUUGAGGUCCGCUGGGAAAUCAAAGCAUUAUCGCCCCAGUCUUUUUGGUCCAUAGUCUCAUUAAAUUGCUGACAAAGGUUCUGGCUAUCCAGCUGCAGCAAUUCACUGCACACCUUGUUCAUAGCAUGCAGGCAGGGUACAUUAGAGGGAAGGCUAUUGUUAAAAACUUUGCGUAGGCCUCGGAGCCUGUUAAAUGUGCGCAAAAGAGGCGGCUACCCAUGAUCGUAAUAAAAUUAAACUUCCAAAAAGUAUUUCACAAUAUCGGUUGGGAUUGCAUUUUGAAUUACCUAUUGUAACAUAGCGGCAUUGGUGACAAAACGGGUACAAUGAAAUAAGGCUAUCCUGAAAAUUGUUCAAGCUCAGGUUCUUCUUUAUGGUUUUGAUUGCUUCUGAGUGUGGAGUUUCACAAGAGGGUCCGUUAUCGCCUUGCCCUUUCAUUCGUGUUGCUGGUAUUCUCCAAAGGAUGUGCGUCAACACUCUAAUCAUGGUUGUCUUGCUAACCCAUCAAUAGCAAUGGUCCACUUCCUGGUGCUGCAGUAUGCAGACGACAUGAUUAAUUUUGCUCCAGGGUGAAUGGUCAAAUGAACAUAAGGCUGAUUGUCUUGUUGCUUGGGAACAAACCAAUCAAUUUACGCAAUGAAGAACAGAGGCUUGGGCGUUCACAUCUCAACUGAAACCUCCUAUCAUCAAACUACAGGCUGCUAAAGUUAGGUAUGGAGCUCUCUGUUCCAGAAGAAGGCCCAACAAGAUUGUAUUACCUCCAUCCCAAAUUACUUAUCUUAUAUUUGUCUAUACAAGGAUGUAUCUAACACUAAAACGUGUCUAGAUACAUCCGUAUCUAGACAAAUCUAAGACAAAUAAUUUAGGAUGGAGGGAGUACAUGUUUUCUUACGGCCGCAUAGCACAUGUUUUCUUACGGCCGCAUAGUCGUUUCAUGUAACAUUCUGCUAUACUGCAUCAUUUCUUCACUUCUAUUCUUUUUCGUUUUCGUGUUUUCUCUUCAUUGGCAUUGGCCUUUGCUCUGUGGUGUGACCUGGAUAUGGUCUACUUCAGGUUGCCUUGCUCCUUUGAGCAAUUCUCAGAUCUUUUUGGAAUAUACUCCCUCUAUAAAGAAAUAUUUAUAUCACUACUAUAGUGAUCUAAACGGUCUUAUAUUUCUUUACGGAGGGAGCAUAAGGUAGACAGUAGCCUCUACCUUCUUAUCUAAGAAUAUCUCUAGGAAAUUGAGUACACAAAUGUGGUCACACUUCCGACACAUCUACUAAUCUCGCCAGAAAACAACUUUGGAUAUAUUGUCAACUACUAUCAAACAUGUGUUCACAAAAUAAAAUUUGGGUGUUGCAGCAAUUCAAAGUAAUCCUGAGGUGGAGAUAAUUAGUACUAGUCUGACCCAGUUGAUACGUACUGUGAUGAAUCCUUGAAUGAUAGUUUAUAUCCUUCUGACCAUCAUGGUGAUGCUACUCUGUGCAUACACAAUUUUGGUCAGCAGGGUCACAAAUCCCGAUGCCUCUGAUUCCUAUGGGGCACACAUUUGGGCUUCAACAGCACCGCAAAAACAGUUUAGACUCGGUGCAAAACUUCUAUCCAUUAUUUAUGUGGUUGUGGUGUAUUUUGAUAUGAUCCUAGCAAUGGUGAGCUCUAGCCUUUGCUCAGCCUCCGGUGUGCACGAUAGCUUCUUUAUGAGUUUUGACCCUGCUCCAUGUCCCUUCUCGUGCUUAAAUAUAAAUACAUGUGACACAACAACCAUGCAAUGGAUGUUUGUUAAGUUUCUUUAAGCAACCACAUUUUGAGAAAGCUUUUGCAUUUGCCGCCUUAGGUCGCAUUGACGGUAAAGAGAAGAAACAGGGCUAAGAAACCACAAUGUUCAUAAUGUAAAAUUAUGUAUAGGCCAAAAUUCAUCAUAUCAUAAUUUGGUAAAAGCCUACCUAAAUCUCUAAGCUGGAAUAUGAAACGAGUAGCAACAACAUAGUCGGAAGGGGUGUGUCGUUCCAUCACAAUCGCAUCAUUAGAUCAUUGUCUAACGCCUAUGGUGUGAUCGCCCUUCCUUGUACCACAAAACACAUGGGUGUGUCAGAAAACACAAAGACUCGAAGGGCUUUUCACAAAAGAUAGGAGGUAGUUGGGCCUCAGUCGCCCUCUCGGUGGCAAUUUUUCUGCACUGAUCAGUAGAAACUUGGACCACUGUGAACACAAAUACCAAGUUAAAGUGUUUAUUUGACUAUUUAUGAGUUCACAAAGUAAAGCAAAAUUAGCUGCCAAGUUAAAAGACCCUGGGUUCAUUUUAUGUAUUUUAAGUUAACUAGUCCACAUUUCUUACCAGUUGCAUUCUGUCAUCAGACCUGCAAUUUGUAUCACAUAUUGUUACUUUAUUAUUUCACACAACAUGGUGUCGCAGGUCUUCAAUUUUUUGACUUAAUUAAUAUGCCACCUAUUUAGGGACGGAGGAAGUACCUUGCUAUCAGUGGGCUUCUCAGAAUAUCAUAAAAGGAAACUACAUCUAUUUUUCCAUUGUUCUAUUUCCUAUCUUUAUAUCCAUGUGUUGUUGUGUUGUCACAUUGAAUGUUGCAUUUAGUAUCUGGUAUAUGUUCAACGGUUCCUUGGUCUGUCAUCCGAGCUGCAGUUUGUAUCACCAUAUUGUUACUUUCCUAAUAUAUGUGAUAGUAGUUUGCAUUUUACUGCACUACAUUCACAUCUUCAACUACCUAUAUCUCUUCAUUAUCGUCAAGAGACUGGGAUGUACCAUGUGUGGUCCUUUUGGUGGAUCUUUAAUUGAAUAGUUUAUUCCAAACGAACCGAGAAACGAUAAGCUAUGUCAAAAACUCUUGCAAAUAUGUAAAUGUACUGAAUCAAUUGCAUUGUUGCGAUGAUUUUGCUCGUGAAUACUAGCCGGCAGAUGUAUUUAUAUUUAGGUAACAACACAGGAAUUAUUGUAUGCCUGCGCAUGAAGACCAGUGCUUCCAUGGCUUGGCCUUGGGGCCGAACGGUGGUGCGGUGCCCACCAUGAUAGAUCGGGAUCCAUGGCUGGCUGGAAGAGGUUCCGCAAGAAUGGGGUUGCACGGGAGAGAUAAAGGUUUUUUUUUGCAAAAGCAAAGAGGGGAGCGGUGGGAGUCUUUUUGUUAAAGUACCACCGCUGCCUUGCAUGCGCUAGAUAUAGAUCGAAUGGUCCAAUGUGUGCUCGGACCCCUACUCCCGCGGAUGUCAUCAAACAAAUUCAGUCCAAAUUUGGUUCGGUUUGGUUUGGUAGUACUUUGCUUCGUUUCCUUGCGAUGUACGAUAGAUAGAUGUCCAAUCACGCGUUUCCCCGCUUCAAUAAAUAAAUUCCCCCGGGAGCUAGCCCGGCCCAUCCGCAGCAACCAAAUCUCCCAUAUUUUCCUCUCCUCUGCCGCCGCCACCGCGUUUCUAGGGUUUCCCCCAUCCCCAAUUCGUCCGCCACCACCUCCAGCCUAGAUCCAGCAGUGAUGGCGACCGCAGAGGCAGGUGAGAACAAGAUGAUCAUGCUCAUAUCGUCUGACGGCAUGGAGUUCGAGGUAGAGGAGGCAAUCGCCAUGGAGUCGCAGACCAUCCGCCAAAUGAUCGAGGAUGAGUGCGCCGGCAAAGGCAUUCCGAUCCCCAACAUCAACUCCAAGAUCCUCUCCAGGGUCAUCGAGUACUGCAACAAACACGUCCCGACCAUGCCAACCACUGGAGCCACCGGUGCCGCCACGUCUGACACCGUGGCUCCCGCCGCCCUAGCCGAGGACCUCAAGAUCUGGGACAGAGAAUUCAUCAAGGUCAACCGUGCCACCCUCUUAGAUCUCAACCAGGUAUGAUAUCCUUCAGUUCGACCAUUUUCUUUUUCUAGAUCUACUUUUUCUUGAUGUUCCCCUUCUGGCACUCGAUCUAGAUUGGGCUUGCGCGUCUUGGUACUAUUUAUAUUAGAUUGGACGAACUCCUCGUACAACCAUCAAGGUAGAUUCGAUUCGAUUGGACUAGAUUAGAUUUAGAUUAUACAUGAUUGUGCUUUAUUAGCGACGUAGACAUUGGCCGGCCAUACGAAAUCCUAGUAAAUUGGUUAGGGCAUCAUCUUGUGGUCUGAUAUGUUUCACUGAUAUGUGCAUAUCAUUGUUAUGCGUAACUUUUGAAGCUUUAUUAUGAUCAGUGUGAACUUACUAGCUGCACUAUCAAUGUGCCAGCAAAUUGUAUAUGAUUUACAUGCGGAAACAUGAGACUACUCAUAACAAUAUAUGGUGUUUAUGAUUAUCCUACAUACAUUAAUGUUUCUAUAUAGCACGGGAGGUCACUUCAUGUGUUGUUUUGUGUUUUAUUAGCUUGUAACACAUCUUAAUGCAAGACAAUCUAUCUAAUUAUCCAUGUUCUAUAGCCAUUAUAGAUUAAUGCUUCUCUUUGACACCCUAUGGUUCUUUUUACCCCCUCCCAGGCUGCAAGUUACCUCAACAUCAAGGGGUUGUUGGACCUGACUUGCCAGACUACCGACACGAUUAGUGGCCAUAAUCUGGAGGAGCUCCGUAGUUUCCUUCAGCAUCAAGAACGACUACUUGCCUGAGGAGGAGACGAUCCACGGGGAGAACCAGUGGGCAUUUCAGUAGAGGAGCAUCUAGGUCGCGUUGAGUGAACGCUUAGUAUUCUCAUGUGAACCUUAGCUGCACUCUUUGUGUUUUAAUUGGUUGUAACUGUACUGGAGUUUAUGAGGUGGCGUUAGUGAACAUAUUCAGCGUUUAUGCUUGAAUAUAUUGGUCAUUGUGUUUACAUGACGCUGGAGUGGGCGGUGUAGUCCACGGGAUGGUAUGAUCCACAAGGAGCCGGCAUGUAUCUCUCUAAGGUGGAUGGUGAAGUCCACAGAGUGGUGUAUUCCACAAGGUUCUAGCAGACCGGGUAGUCCAAGGCAUAUAUAUUUAAGGAGGUUCGUAAAUUCGUCAAGUUAAAAUUGGGGAGAGAUUGUUGCGACCAAUGAAGCCUAUCAAUUUAACUUGUCGUGGUGCGAGAGAAUGAGUCGAUAAAGGAUGAUCUACAACGAGUCAAGAUCGAAUCAGCACAGAAGACAAAAAUCAAAAUUAAGAAGAGAUUGUUAGGAUUAAUCUUGAAUUAGUAAAGUCCUACGUGAUGUGAUGUAGUAGCAGGAGUUGGCAUGCAUGCCUAGUGUCCGAGUAGUAGUAUGGUUUGAGUACGUAGGUGUACUAAUAGUACUUCUGUCCGGCCGUGUAGGUCAUGUCGAGUCAGGUUAGGAUUCUACUCAUCUUGUACGAGCAGGUUUAGGUAUACGUGUCAGGCCGGUGGCUGGGCUGCAUAUAUACAUAUACGUGUGUGUAUACGGCAGUGAGUUGUAACUUGGCGAAAAAGGAGAAAAUAAAAAGAAGAAAAAGGAAGGCACAUGUUCCUUUGGCAAAAAGUUUUUGUGCACGUCUGUUUUGUGAUAUAUUUUUUGACGCCGAUAUCCAUCACACGUGUGGUAUAUUUGACAUGCGCCCACACAUCGUGUGUGGUGUAAGCAGAAGGCAGCCCACAUGGGUUGUGUGUGGGCGGACAUUAGAAUUCCCAUACAUGUGGGCGCGGCUAUUUCGUGCCACACGCCCAACAAGUACUACUCAUCUCCACCCCGCGCGUGUGGCACGAAGCAAAAAUGCCCACACAUCCUGGCGCAGCUACGUUAGGUACCCGCAUGAUGACAAUUUAGUUGCCAUCCUAGUUGGCAGAUGUAGUUAUUCGGGAUGGCAAGUGUAGUUGUAAAAGCAUGGCAACUCUAUCUGUUUUGGUUAACUAUAGUUGCCAUGUCUAAUUUAUGGUAGUUGCCGCGUGUAAUCAAACCGUAGUUGCCGUGUGUGAUUAACUACUUGUCACAUAUGGUCAAACAGUAAUUGCCAUCUGUGUUUACCUAGUUGCCACGUGUGGUCCAACCAUAGUUGCCAUAUAUUGUUAAUCACAGUUGCCAUGUGUGUUUAUCUGGUUGCCAUGUACGCGCAUCUGCAGUUGCCAUCUAGCAAAGAAUCACAGUUGUCAUGUGUGUUUACCUAGUUGCCACGUUCGCGUAACUAUAGUUGCCAUCCACAACGUAGGAGUUUCAUGUGGGUGAAAAGCAGUUCACCCACACGCACAUGAACUAGGUGGUGACUGUGGGCAGAAACUAGUUCGCCCACACAGCACAGCUGGCAAACAGCGUGGUGCGGGCGUGUGGGCAAACUCUCCAACGCCCACACGCCAGCCACGUCCUAUGUGGCAUGCAAAUUAUGCCUCAAUGUGUCAAGAUUCGUGUAAACUGCACUGAAUGAUAAUCCACGCGUGUGGGCGAGUUACAAAACCUACUUCCACACCCAUCUGACACUGAGUCAAAAUUAUCGGCCGCCUCGCUCCAUCAUGGUAUCACUGGCGCAGGCCAACACCACAUUGACAUGCCAAAAGCUCGUGGUGAAGGUCCAUCUCACUACUCCCCCGCCAAUACUGGAGCCAAUAAGAUUUUUUUCUGAACUGGAAUAACGGUUUUUAGGACUUCACUGGCAAACGUUCGCUGGAAGGGAUGUCAUUUGUGAACGUUCGUUUGUCAUUCUCUCCAAGAGAACAUUCGACGGUUAACAUUUCGGUUUUCUUAAUUUUUGACCAUCCAUUUAUUUAACAUCUAGAUCUACGUCUUCGCAGAUCCCAUGAAGAUUGUCCCGAGUACAGCGCAUCUCUCCACCGAUCGAGCAUCGGGCUGCCGCUGUGUCACCCCGUGGUUCUCCGCGCGGCUGCACCGACCCGUGUCACCGCUGCGUCGCCCUUUCGGGCCGUAGUGCCGCGGCCUCCAUCGCCACCCCGAGGCCGUCCGCUCCAUGUUGUCUCCGUGGCUGCACCGACCCUCAAGCAGCCGUUGCGUCACCCUGUCGGGCCGCCGUAGCGAGCGUGUCACGUGAUCCACGCCGCCGCCCAAGGCCGUCCCCGUGGCUGCACCGAUCCGCGCACCGCUGCUGUACCACCCCUUCGGGCAGUAGCGCCGCGGUCCGUGGGCCAUGCCGCCGCCCUGAUGUCUACCCGUUGUCGCCCCGACCCGCUUGCUGUUGCUGCAUCGCCCCUUCGGGCCUUGGCGCCGCGGCCCAUGGUCCACUCUAGCGUCCCCGCGUGUUAACUUUCUGUGGUAUGCGCCGCACUAGUCUUCGUCGUAUUGUCGGGUUUCUCACGUACUUCGAGCAUCGCCGCCGCGCUCCUAACCUAGCCGCAGCAGCCGCCGCUCUUCUUCGGCCGCCGCAGCUGCCGGCAGCCGUCCACCCUUUUCGUCUUUGUCCAGCACCAGGCCUUCGCCAGCGUUGCCAUCAUCUUUCAUGACCACUUUGUCUACUCCGACCACCAUUAGUGACAUCGGCCCCACGCCGAUUGGCACCACAACCGUCAUCGAGUCUUCUUCUUUGUUGUCCCUCUGGCUCCUCGACAUGGCGUAUAGCUCGUGCAGGUCCCUCGUCUACGCAUGACCGGUGCAGGCAACACCAAUGCAUGCCUUCAUCCACGACGUGUCCUCGGGUCUGGCAAGCCUGUUCGGUGCUUCAUCGACUUUGUCUUCGCCCAUCAUGUUACAAUCUCUAGUACAAUACCAGAAGGAUUACUUAACUAGGAAAAAAUUAAAAAUUAAAGAGAGGGAGAGAGAGUAGGAGCUUCCCUAAUAAAACCCGUGCCGUCAUCAGGCCAUACUUGUCACUAAAGCUUCAGGGUAUCAUCAACUAACAGAGCCUUCAGAAUCAUUUAUAUUACAGCAAAGCCAUAGCCGCCACGGUUCGUCUCGUCUCCUGGAAGAAGGGAAAAAACAUCAUCUACAUCCAGUUUCAGCAUAUCUUCUCCUGAAAGAAAGAAAGCACCAUCCACAAUCAGUAAAUAAGUAUGAUACUAUUGCCCGGCUACUUCUUGCUUGAGGAAAACUCCCUAUCUUCUCACUUGGUAAGUGACUUCAUCAAUUGAUAUGUUUCCUUCGCCUGCAUUGAAAUAAUCUUGUUUCUAUAAUUAUCACAAGCACCAGAAAAGGGAAACAACUGAUCUUCAAAUCACAUAUCUUCACCAGUAUGGCAUGGACCACCCCCUUUGCCUUACUGCAAGCUCACACCUGAGAUAUGAUUUCAUCCAGCUUCUAUAACUUCAAGUCAGGAACAAAUAAAUGUCGCACUAUCCUCACACAGCUUGGUUAUAAACUGAGGUACAUAACAUGUCUACUGUUCCUACAUUUGAAAUUCCACAAAAUUCUAUGCUACAUGGCUUUUCUAUUUCCUUCUCUGACUUUCCAGCUAGAAAUUUUCAGAAGGAUGAUACAGAAGACCACUUUCCUAUGUUAAUAAAAUAUGCUGAGGGACAAAGAUGCCCUCAUUAUGUAUAAAGAUAGUGCUAAUAUGGAACAAAAUUAGCUAAAAGAUAUGGCAGAAGUAAACUUGAUAAUGUCAUAACCUUUUCAAGGUUACCAUAACAUAUGUUCCCUUAUUGUAUGAAAUGCACUCUGCUUUUCAUCAUCAUAACGUACAAGCAUCGAUUUGCUUCUCCCGUACAAAUACAAGGGCACCUAAAAUAUCUACAUAGUGGUAUACAUGUUUAACACGGUGUGGCCAACUGGCCAACAAAAAACCCAAAACUGUUUCCCGGGGAAAAAGAAGUCCACGAUUUUCAUCUAAAGUUAAGUCUCAAAUCAUCUUCAUGGCCGAAAUGGGAACAUGUGUUCAUGGAAAGAUAGGUUGAAGAUUGCACUGAAAUUGCAAUGGCCAUUUCACAACAUAAAGAUACAGAGUGCGCAGAAAUACUACUAACUGAUACUUCAAAGGGCUUGUAGGAUGCCCUGAUCUCUCACUCUUAGUUACAAUAUGACGUGAUGAAGGACAAGUUGAUAGCAGUGCUAUGCUUUCUUCUCUAAUGAAUGACAAAAUGAAACAUACCAAUUUUCAUUCCGGUCAUGUUUCAUGUAAAUCUGAAUCUAGCCAGCACUUCCCCUCUGCAAGCUGCUGCAUAGUCUUCAGCAAGGUGCGGUGCAGCUUCCUUGUGUGGGAAUAUGAACUUCUCCAUGAAUACCUUCGGAGUCGCCGCGACUGCAUAAUAGUAAUCCCGGUCGCGAUGUAGCAAUCCAUUUUCCUUGAGAAACUUCACAACAUAGUACCGGGGCCUGAGCCGAUCAUCCAGGCUGCAAGUGAGAAGCGCCGGCCGAUGAGCAAUGUACCCUGGUUCCAACCCCACCUCGGAGAUGAGGAACUCUGCGACACGUUGCAGCCUUUCCUUGCAAGACCUCAGCACCACCGGAGCCUUGGGCAAAGCAAUGCCCACCUCAGUAUCCGACCACCUAAAUGUCUUCUUCAGGUAUUCCACCUUGGCGGCGAUCUUCUCCUCGUCAAAGAAUGCGACAGCCUGCAACGCUUGUCCCAACAUCCCGGAGCCAUGCGGCACACAGAGAGCUUUGGCACAUGCCACCAUCGCCCGGAGGCGCUGCUGGUUGAUUGUGAGGAUCAUUGGCACACGGAUGCACAGCUUGGCAAUGUGGCAAUCAUGUAGCCCGCACUCCUGGAGGAACGCGACGUUGGGCUUGACCACCCUCUCGAGGUCAGAACCUUGUAGCCAGAAGCCGCGUUUGAGCAACCGAAGCAAGUCGUCCAUGGACCCGAAGAGAUUCAGGUAGUAGUGUAUAGCGGAGACGAUGGAUCUGCAGCGGAAUUUGCCGGGGACGAGCACGGCGAUGCGCGCGACCUCAGAGCGCGAGAGGCCGAGGCCGGUGAGCCCGUCGACGACGGGGGCCAGGGUUCUCUCCACGCCGGCGCAGAGUAACAGCGGGUCCUUGGCGACGGCGGUGGCGACGUCGGCGGCGGAGAGGCCGAUGCCGGCGAGGAAGGCGAGGACGGCGUCGGGCUUGGCGGGGGACUUGAGGUGGGACAGCUUGGCGGAGACCUUGAGUGCCUGGGCAUGGGUCAGGCCGCAGGAGGAGACGAGGUACUCCUCUGCGGCGAAGCCAGGGGCCGGGGAAACGGCGGAGGCGGCUGCGGCGGAGAGGAGGCGGUGGAGAGGAGAGACAUGGGAGGCGUAGGGAGAAGAGAGGAGCUGGGUGAGGAUGCAGCUUCGUAGCCGGAGCAUGGCGGCGGGGAGGCGCCGGCGGCGAGGGGAUGGCCAGUGGCGGCGCGGCGUGGUUGGUGGUGAGAGACGGAGAGGGUGUGGUGAGGGUUUGGGGCUGGACCGCUGGACUCGUGCGUCGUGAGUCUGAUAAUGGGCUAGGAUGGGCUGGGCUGGGCUGGGCUUGAGCUAGACUAGGAAUUCAACGCACUGUAAUCUCAAAAACAAUAGUCAAGGCAGACCCUUUUGGAAAACAUGAGCCAACUUAAGAAAAAAAAAACUAACAUGAGCACCCGUAUCCGGACAAAUUCAUCGAGUGGAGUAAUGUCAAUCAUUUUGUCCUGAGUAACGCAAAAUUACCACGAAAAGAUGGUGGUACUUGAUUACUUGCUAUUAUGUGCUCGCCUUACAUUUCCCUGUGCGGCCAUUUUGAAGCAUCAAUCUUCCAUAUGUCAGAUCCCCUGUCAUGUUUUUAGAUCGCAUAUUCUGGCAAUUUUAAGUGGACUGUGAAUUUUCCGAAAGAACGGCGUACGGUACUUUCACCGCCUUGUGUCAUCUUAUAGGUUUUUUUUUUGAAAGAUCCAGCAAUUGUUGGCCUUGUCGAUAUCAUUAGUAGCAAGCAGCGAGAAUACAAAAGGUGGACGGUGAGAUCCUAAGAUCGGUUCAGAGGAACACCAAAAGACUAAAAAGAAGAGAAACAGAAAAUGAUGGCCGGCCGAUCAACUCGCCUGGCCAAAGGAACUAUAGCUAACUCUUCACGGCGGAUCCUAGAAGGGUCUCUCUGAGAUGGCGUUUAGGAUAUCUGGAUAGGAUGAGUGGAUGACCGCUUACCUCUAAAAGUACAACAGUUCCUUUCUUGCAAAUUUCCCAACGCGUCAGUAGCAGCAAGGUCUUUAUACCUUUAAUUUGCGUUGGCAUUGUGUCAUUGACUUGACUUGAGGUCUUAUAUGCUUAUAACAUAGCAUUAGGCUUUUAAAUAAUUUAGGUGCAUGUAGCUAAAAAAGCAGUGGACAUGAUCUGCAUUGGAUAUCCAGAAUGCCACAUAAAGAAUGGAUGGGUUUAGUGAUCAGAUCAUGAUAUCCUACUCAGUGACACUUGUAUAUAAUAUGAAACACAGCAAAAGUUACCGAGAUCAUGAUCCUAAUGAGUGAAACUUACAUAUAUAAAUUAACGCUACUGAGAUGAUGGUCCUAAUGAGUGACACUUACAUACAUAUAAAACUGAACACAACAAAAGCUAGUCAUAACACAACUGAAUUUACACUAGAGGGCCAAUUAAGCUGGCCCCAUGCAUGGUGACGGCUCUUCAAAUUGAGCACCCCGUGGCUGACCCCAGGUAGGAAAUGGGGCCAGUUAAGUAGCAGAUUAGCCAGCCCUUCCGUUUCCUGAAGUGGUUUCGACUUUGGAAGGAAAUAAGCAACAACAUCCCGGCUUGAGGUCGAGUAGGGAGCGUGCAUGCCCGUGCAGGAGCGUCAAGCAAGCAAAUAUCCUAUAUUUGAUUUGCAAAAUGUAUUAUAUUAAGGUACAGAGGUGGUACUUUGGAAGUUUAGAUAUGCAUAUACUAUGUAGUACUCCGAGGGGCCACGUGGCCAUGCCACGCGGGUGGCCCCUUGGUCGCACCACUAGGCCGCGUGGGGCCCUUGGGUGGCCCCACGGCAGCUCCCGACACCUUCUGGAAUCCUCAUGGAAAAAAUCAUAUUAAAUCCCCAGGUUUUUUUUUACCUCUGUAGAUUAAAUAUUGUCUCAUGCGAUGUGGUCGAGAAACAAGCUAAAAUUAGCACCAACAGUGACGUUCACUAGCUAAGUUUAGAAAAGCUACUACCUAGCUAAUCAUUCGCGACCAUUCGUUGGUGACUCUCACAUACGGCUAACCGGUUCUUGUGGCAUGUGUCACCUAUGCACGCUCGCACAUACUUACAUAUCAAUGGAAUAGCUAGUUGCCUCCAAGAAAGCAAUCUUACAUUCACCUAGGCCCGAACAGUUCGACCAACUACAAUCUUCUUCCUCAUCGUGAGGCUUCUUAGUGUGGUCAAUGACUAGGAGAACCUGAAAGUGACUAAGAAGGAGCAUGUGGAGGGAACUGAGGCAGGUUUCACAAUUGGGAGUCCGUGCAAAGUUCAAUGCCAUCACCAAGGGCUAUGACCUUGAGAUGAUCAUCGUUCUUAUUAUCCAUGAUCGCCAACCGUGACAUGGAAUAAACUGCCCAAUAGACGCAUACUACAUGCUCAAUAGCGGCUUAUUUGGUGGCACGGUCGGUGGUGACAAACAGAACCGUGAUGAUAUUCUCAAGGUUAUUGCCCUUGAAGAUCGCAUCUCGACUUUCUUUUUGGGCCCGCUGUGACACUUGUCACAAUUCCACUGGACGUGCUUCUUCUUGGUCGCGGCCAGGAAAGAUGCACAUAUCGGCGAGCAUGGCAACAUAGUUUGAACACUUGUUGUUUGUGGUGCUCAAAAUCUCAACGACGGCGCCAUUAACCCUUCUUUGCAUGUGGUGACGCAUACCUCCUUUUUGAUGAAUAAUGCCCGCAUGUCUAGUUUACUCUUAAUAAUUAUUUAUACUAACAUGAUUUCCAUUGUUCUUUUCUGGGUUAAUCUAAGUUAAAAAUUGUUAUUUGUUUCAACACAAUGCGGUUUUGGGCAGGACAAGGAGGGUCAGAUGGUGCUUCCACGUCGGGAGAGGAAACUACGACCGGCCAUUUUGUGGAAGAUUUGAGCGAGGCUACUGGGCAAAAAUUAGAGUACAAUGAUCCAUGUAAAUACAUUGAUUUUGAAGAAAAAAAUGAGAUUGUCCUCAUAUGCUUAUAUAUUGGCAGCGGCUUUAACAAUUUAGAUAGAAGAAUAAUCAAUCUUAUUUACAUACUAGGUAGUGUGCAUGAAGGAAUAAACAGACCCUCAACCGAAGCCGCGUAAACCUCACAUCCUUCCUGGGGCAAAACAUCGGUAUAUGUCCAAUGUACUCUAGGAAACAAGUGUACGUACGUACAUACAACCUACAGAGUAUAAUUCAUGCAAUCACGUACGCAUGCACGUACAUACGGUUCUCUAAUGAACAAAUACGAUCGACAGACACAUAUAAACAUUGGGUACAUGCACAGAUUGAUGCGUCGACGCGGUGGUAUUUACGUAGCUUAGGCAGCUGCAUGCAUGCUACGUACUAGAGGAGGAGACAUGAUGUUGUUUCAUCAGAAGGAGAUGAAGGAAUUGGCCAUGUCGUACUUCAUCUUCUCCAGGUUGGGCGAGAUGGCGAACUUGAUCAUGGGCGGCGGCCCGCAGGCGAGCGCGAGGGUUUCGUCGCCGCCCUCGGGGACGUGCGCCCGCAGGAUGUCCUCCGUCACGAACCCGACGCUGAACCUCCACCCGUCCUCGGGCCGCUUCACCUGGUCGAUCACGUACCACACCUUGAGCCUCUCCGGGUACUCCGCCGCCCACCGGUCCAGCUCGUCGCGCAGCAGGAUGUCGUCCUCGCUCCGGUUCGCGUACACGAGGUGCAUCUCCGUCUCGUCCUCCGGCUGGUCCCGCAGCACGGCCUGGAUCACCUGGUACAUGGGCGUGAUCCCGCUGCCGCCGCAGAUCAUGGCCAGCCGCCGCGCCCGCCGCUGCUUGCCGUUGAUGACGAAGUUGCCGCGGCCGGUGUACUCCACGUGGCCCAGCGGGCCCUUGACGUCGAUGCAGGAGCCGAGCUGGAGCGACUCCAGGUACUGCGUCAUGAGCCCGCCGUUGGGGAACUUGGGGUGCUCGUCCCGGAAGUAGACCUUGACGAGCAGCUCGAACUGCCCGAUCUCGUCCACCAUGCUGGUGGGCGUGUAGGCGCGCAUGCAGAGCUUGCCGUCGAUGGUGGCGCACACGAAGAUGUGCUUGCCGACGGGCAGGCCGAGCACCUGGUCGGAGGACGGCAGCGCGAAGCGGAAGAGGCGGACGUCGUGGGAGAGCUCCUUCUUGUCGACCAGGCGGCAGGGGACCUUCUCGCGCGGGCUGGACAGCGCGAUGGGCGCGCCAGCGACCUUGGUGGCCUCGCGGAUCGGGGCGAGGUGGGAGAGGCUCGACCCGCCGUGCACCGAGUUGUCGGAGUUGUAGCCGGUGCCCGUGGUGAUGAGCUCGCCGAUGCGGUACGUGUCGAGGAGCGCCUUGGCCUUGUCGGAGUGGAUGGCGUCGAACUCCUCGGUGCAGUCGGAUCCGGCAUUAAUAAGGAUGCUGUCGGCGCCGCCGGGGUGGUCCUUGAGGAAGGCGGUGCAGUCGUAGACGUGGCCGUGCACCACGAUCCACGCCGACUCCUUGGACCCGUGCUUGCGCACCUCGGACAUGGUGAACUGCUUGUCCGCGACGGUGUUCAUGAACGGGGUAGACGUGCUGCGCUUGAGCCCCGGCGCGGCCGCCUCGGCCGUCUCGAGGUGCUUCUGCCGCGCCAUCCAGCCGCCGGUCUGGUUCCCCGGCUGCGUGGGGUGCUCGAAGACCAGCCCGAUCUCGCCCUUGUGGGGGCGGCACACGUUCACCUUCACCUUGAACCAGCAGUUGUUCAUCAUGCCCAUGAGGUUCCAGAUGAGCUUCUCCGGCUGGGUGUUGUGCGUCUGGUCCCAUGCGCGCACCGACACCUCCUUGGCGCCCAGGAGGUCUAGGACCUCGAUCUCCACUGACCAGAAGCACCAGCACCAGUACCGCCCGUACUUGUUCGGCUUCUCCGGGAUGUCGAGCGUGCACAACAUCCAGCUCUCGCCGCCAUCCAGAGUCACCUCCACUCGUGUGAUCUUCUUGCCACCACCUAGAAAACGCAACGAUAAGAAAUUAGUGAUCAUGAGUUGGUGACUAGAUGAUACCCCAUGUGUUGCCGUAGAGUUGCAUAUAUAGUUUCUAAAUAUGUGCAGAAUACUAAUUCGGCCCUUACAAUUUAAAUCAUGUGAGAAUUUUUUUGCAUAAGCCAAAAAAAGUCUUAAUAUAAAAAGUUGUGCAUGUCACAUUUAAAUGCAAUGUGAUUUAAAACGCACAUAUAAUGCAUUAAUGCAUGUUGCAUGGUAGAGAAUUCUCAUGCGUAGCUCGGACCCCUUGUAUUUUGUCAAACUUUAAAUAAAAUGUAAGUUUUACGUGGUAAAAAAUAAUAUCAUUCGAAACCUCUUUCUAAUAAUAAUCAGGUGAUAUGAAUUUGAUGAUAUUUAAUUUAAAAUUUACUAUUUAAAUAUAUGGUUAAAAUUUGGGCACACAAAAAACAAAAGGAACUUGUAAACCCAGAUGGAGGUAGUAGUACAUAGGAUAUAGAGUCACCCCUUUGCUAAUUAAGUUACAAUAAUUAGAGAUGCUCCCUCCUUUGAUUAAAAGAAGGUUUUGACAAAAGUCAAAUUGUACAAUGUUUGACCACUUAAGAAACUAUCAACAAAUAAAACACUAAACCGCCAUAAAGUCAUAUAUUUAGGAACGGAGGUAGUACUAUCAUUAAAUAGAUGAUAAAAAUACAUUUUCAUAUUAUACGUAUCUAUUUGAGUUACUGGUACUUUUCCUGUAAAUUUGAUCAAGCUUUGUGUUGUUUGACUUCGUAUAAAAUGUACAUGUCUUCUCAGUUCUCACGGAGCACAGAGGGGGCACUUAACAAAGCAACGUUUCUUUUCUCUUUUAAGCAGGAAGUUUGUGUCGGCAAGCAAGCUAGCAGCCCAGCUCGACACGCUUCCCGAGGCCCAAGUUGGAAUAUUCAGCAGAAAGUAUCCACGUUGCUGCUAGAUUCCGAUUCCCCUUGUUGAUGAUUGGCCGGCGAGCUAGUGCCCGUUCCAAAACGGGACGAAUCAUGCGUGCAUGCUUUGUUCAGUUGCCUACUUGCUUUUGACCUCUCCACUAGUAAUUUGUCCAGUGAGACUUGGCAACAUGGCAUUCAUCGAUGCUUUUGCUUUGGUUGAUGGUCUACGGAUGGUGGUUAGUUGUUUAGCUUUUCCGACUUAGUCCUUCUCUUGUGCCUUUUGCCUUUUUUGUUUGCGCCUUUCUUGUCCCUCUCUGAUGACUAUACCCUGUUUGAAUCUUGGCUACAUCAGCUUUAUUAAUACGCUAUUGCUAAACCCCAGUCGACUGAGUGAUACUACAUUUUGUUGGUUCACUGUUUGUGCGCACAUGUGAACCCAACCACAAGGCACUAUGAUUUAUAAUCCCUUUGUAUCAAAAUAUAAGGUUAGUUUAGUCUAAAAAACGUUUUAUAUUUUCGUAUAGAUGUAGUAGUUUCUUUCAGGGGACUAUAGGUUAUAGCUGUAAUCGGUAGGCUAGUAGAGUUACUAUUGAACUGGUGCUAGACUAGAUAGGAGAAAAAUCUGGCUGCUGGCUGCGGUUGGCCACACGAUCGAAUUGUGCCUCCAAUUAUAUGGCUCGCUUGAUUUGUCCUUGCUCUAUACCCAAGCCGGCCGGCACUCCACCAGGUACGACCUGGCAAAACCUUGCCGCGGGGCCCACACGUCAGACGACUAUUCCAAGAGCUAGCAACGUUUUGUAUUAUUGGUGUACAGUAUAUAAUAAGUAGUUAGUCCAUGGCAUGCAUCCAGCGGCUACAAGCAGCUUAGCUUUUGGACGCCACCAAGUGCCAACGACCCCAGAGCCACAAGAAAAGCGCACGCAUUUUUUGUCAAAAAAGAAAAGAAAAGUGCAUGCAAUUGCCAAAAGAAAAAAGAAAAAAAAGUGCAUGCAUGGAUAUUGUAUGAUUUCCUUGGCAGAGAAAGUGCACCACGGUUGCAUGAACCGCAAGGGAAACUACUUAAGUACACACGGUAUCUCUCUUCUCUUCUUGCACCCGGUUUUGGAGCUAGCCUACUGCCACGAGACACCUAAUGGCAUGUACAAUGAUGCUAUCUUAGAAUAAAUGAUGCUGUCUUAGCAUAAUAUGUCUCGCCAUGUUUUUAAGAAUAGCUAGUUAUUAAAGAUAAGACUAAGAGAUGACCCAUUAUAGACAUAUUUUUUGUCAUAUCUAAAUUAGAUGCAAAACUUACGAUAAAACUAUCUUAUCAAUCGUUGUACAUGCCCUAAGCUAGCUCGGCUCAUCAUCCUGUGGUCAAUGCUACGGAAGUAGUGGUGGUAAGGGUAAAAUAACAAUGAGUGGCUGCCACCACCCUCAGCUGUUAGUGGUAGUAGAAAACAAGGGACUGUCGCACUCAACCUGCCAUUUUCAGAUGCUAACUGCCAUUUUCAAAUGCUAGCUAGUACAUGCCAAUGUCAAUCAAGUAAGAAAAUGCAUUCUGUGCUUGGUCAGAUCAGAUGUCCUGGUGCUGAGCUUUACACUACUCUCAUUAAGUUCAUUUUCUUCCUACGUGAGCAUAAAACAUGGUAUAUAUAUAUAUAUGCUCCUUACGGUCAAUUGCUAGCGUACGGAAGCAUAGUAUAUACUCUCUAAUUGCAUGCGUCAUCCUUGGCGCCAUGUACGUAUAUACCAAGACAAAGAACAAAUCUACCAAGCUUCUAUCUUCGAUCGUCUCACUUUUUCUGAAAAGAACGUAAAGAAAAUAGAUCGUACCGGAGUAUGCGUAUCCUUUCAUGGUGUAGGCGCGCUGGGUGGUGAAGGCGUUGAUGGGGAGGAUCUCGUCGUGCCCCGGCGUGGUGAUCACCGAGUUGGUGUUGAGCUCGUUGAUGAUGUACUCGGGCCGGUACCACCACGCCUCGGAGUUGGCCAGCUCCGCGUCCACGUGCGACGGCAGCACCCGGUUGUCCUUGAAGUGGUAGUAGUUGUCGGACUCGGCGGUGGUGACCACGAUGCGCCGGAGCCACUUCACCAUGCGCCCGCCGAUGCACCCGGGGAUGAGCACGCGGACGGGGUAGCCGUGGUCGGGCAGCAGCGGCUCCCCGUUCUGCGCGUAGGCGAGCAGGAUGUCGCGGGACGGGUCGAGCGCCCACUCCCGGGUCACGCUGGUGCCGUACUUGGAGCCGCCGCCGCCGGGGAGGUCCUCGGCGCCCUCGAAGCACACGUUGAGGGCCUGGCCCUUCUUGGAGGAGGACAUGAUGCCGCACCGGAGCAGCACGUCGCGGAGGCGGGCGCCGCGCCAGACGGAGGUGGACACCCCCGCGGCGCCCCAGUUGAAGCCCACCGUCUGCUGCACCAUGUUCUGCUCCUUGCGGCGGUUGCCGGCACAGACCAGCGUGGCGGGCAGCUCCGCGGCGGCGAACCCGUUGGCCAGCUCGUCCAUGGUGAGCCGCGCGGGGCGGCGGACGAGCCCCGUCACCUCCACCGUCCAGGUGGACCAGUCGCCCCGGGGCACGGCGCCGUGGUUGCGCACGUAGUGGAGCGGCGCGGGCGUGAUGAAGCCGUGGUGCAUGAGGCGGGCCAGCGGCGGCUCGCAGUUGAGCGGGUGCUUGCCGGUGAGCCGGAUCAGGGACGGGUUGCGGUCGAUCCAGGCGUCCGCCGUGCCCUCGUCGCGCGGGUCGCGCGUCGACGGCUCCACCUCCAGCUGCAGCUGCGAGCCGUACGCCUCCCGCCAGUCCUCCUCCGGCUCCUCGUCAUCGUCCUCGUCCUCAUCUUCCUCGACGAGGGCCUUCCGGGGCGGCGAGAUGAGCGGGGGGAACCCGCAGCCGCGCACCGGCGAGUCGGCGCGGCGCCGGAUGCCGUUGGAGGCCCCGUUGCGGGCCGGCGGCGCGGUGGCCGGCGCGUCGAGGCGGCCGAACGACUGCCGUGGCUCGACAGAGGCGGCCAUGCUGUGUUUGUGUUUGUGUCGUGGGACAAGUGUUGGAUCGGUUCUGGAUUGGUCGCGGCAGAUGAGAGAAGGAACCGGCAGGUAGUGGCCUGGAGGAGAAGUCGUGCAGAGGCUGGUAUAUAUACACCCACGCAACGCCGACCUCCCGAGUGGACUGACGUGCGCCUCAAAAGGCCGCUAGCAGCCCUAUCCUUAUAGUCGACUGGUCUAAUAUGAGGCGCUCUCUNNNNNNNNNNNNNNNNNNNNNNNNNNNNNNNNNNNNNNNNNNNNNNNNNNNNNNNNNNNNNNNNNNNNNNNNNNNNNNNNNNNNNNNNNNNNNNNNNNNNNNNNNNNNNNNNNNNNNNNNNNNNNNNNNNNNNNNNNNNNNNNNNNNNNNNNNNNNNNNNNNNNNNNNNNNNNNNNNNNNNNNNNNNNNNNNNNNNNNNNNNNNNNNNNNNNNNNNNNNNNNNNNNNNNNNNNNNNNNNNNNNNNNNNNNNNNNNNNNNNNNNNNNNNNNNNNNNNNNNNNNNNNNNNNNNNNNNNNNNNNNNNNNNNNNNNNNNNNNNNNNNNNNNNNNNNNNNNNNNNNNNNNNNNNNNNNNNNNNNNNNNNNNNNNNNNNNNNNNNNNNNNNNNNNNNNNNNNNNNNNNNNNNNNNNNNNNNNNNNNNNNNNNNNNNNNNNNNNNNNNNNNNNNNNNNNNNNNNNNNNNNNNNNNNNNNNNNNNNNNNNNNNNNNNNNNNNNNCAGUGGCGCUCCCUCGUACCGCUUGCUCAUCCUCCCCCCCUUCAUUGGCAAACUCGGGAGCGGCCCCGCAUGCGUCGACCGUGUCAACCAUCGAGCUCGACUUAGAUGACAUGCCGAACGUCGCCAUUAACUCUCGGGAGAUCGAGCAACAAUCCCACCUACCAUGAGUAGCUCGAACAUGAGGCAUAACUGGAGGAGGAGCAUGAGGACACCCGUGCAAUGUUAGCCUACGCCUCAUAAGAGUGAAGUGCACCAUAGGUCCCUAAACUAUUUCAAGGGACUCACUUAGGUUCUUUACUUUUGGAAGUCAGCAUGUAGCUCCAGAAAGUGCAAUAAGUGUGUCAUCCAGGUUGAAACCAGCGCUAACCCUGUAUUGACUGCACAUGUGCCACCGUUGAUCAAGGCCAUGUCGGAAGAGGCUGUUUGGCGGCAAACUUCCCGCUGAGACCGGUUGGGAUCUAUGCAAAAGGACACAAAUGUAUAUAUGGAGUCCGGCGACGUGUGGUAAGCAUCGGCUUCCUUGUCGACGACAGUGGUGGCCAUCAGUGGCGGAGCUACACCAGAAUUCCGAGGGGGACACAAAAUGGGAGCAUUUGAGGAGCCAAAAUACCAAUUUUCCUUUCAUCUAGGCCCUUUACUCAAUAUUUUCUUCAAAGAAAUGUCCAGAGUUGGGGGGAAGGGGAGGCACUGUCUUGCGUUGGAUCAGGAUCAAGAGUAACAACCUCAUCGACUCGAGCAAGGUAGUGUGUAGUAGACCAAGGCUUUGGUCUCAUCGGGCUCGAUUAUUAUCAUGGUGUCGUUGAUGGUGUUCUUUCCUCUGCACGACACUGUAGGGGGGAAUUUCUUCCAGAUCCAUGAUGUUGGGGUUCUGGGUGAGGUUGUAUAAUAGAGCUUCCUACUCUUGAUCAUAUUCGAUGAAUCUGUGAAGCACUUUGUUCGCCAAUUCGAGCUUUCUCUCCAAACCGACAUUUAACUAUUGUAUCGCUUCCUAGGAACACAUCAGUAUGGUGUGCUAGAACAAUGCCACCUCUAUGAUGGCAUCCAUGGUGACAAUGUUGUCCUCCUUGAUGUCAGUGAGUACCUCGAUGCUGCUAGAAGGUGCCACAACAUUGCAACCACGAACCGCUUAUGUCUCGCAUCAGCCGCCACCAUUGACCUACCAAUUUUGGCGGUACAUCAACUUACUGAAGAAGAAGCCGCCAGAAAGGUCCCUAAAUUUGUAAAGAGGGUGUUUCUUUUGCAUAUUUUCAGGACCGGUAGGGGUUUGGACUUGGUGACAUGCUUAUACGUUUUCAUGACUUGAAAGAUGAUUUCCAAAAUUCGAAGACUUACAUGACAUCCUUGGAGUAUUCUAGGGCUGCAGAAUGCACUCCUCAGUGUGGUUGUUGGUGGCCGUUGAUUUGCGCGACAUGACAGGGAAAAAUUUGUUCCUGGAUCCUGGACAUGACGUCGGGUUUCUGGGCGAGGUUGUAGACCAUGGAUUUAUACUCUCAAUCAUCUCCAUGAUGAAUCUUUGAAGCACUUUGUGUGCCAAGGCGGGCUUUCUCUGCAAGCCAAUAUUUAGCUGGUCCAUCGCUUCCCAAAACCACAAUGACAAGGCGUGCCUGAACAACGCCACCUCUAUGAUGGUAUCGACGGCGAUGUUCACGUGUAUGCUUGGGCGGAGACGGCAUGUCAGCAAGGCGCAUCACCCCCAUGCCGACGAUGUUGUCCUGCUUUAAUGCCGAUGAGUACCUCGACGCUGCUAGAACGCCUCCUGACACCACGAACAUGGACCUCUCUUGUCGUGCUCGACCACAUUGUCCCAGCAUUCACCACCAUUGACAUACCACCGUCGGUACAUCAACUUACCGAUGAAGAUGACACCAUAGAUGUACCUAAGGAUAUAGGGCAGGUUGUGUGUGUGUGUGUGUGUGUGUGUGUGUGUGUUCUGUAAAGUAAGGUUUGAACCUAGAUGACCCACUUGUUACAUUUUGAGUACCUUAAUGCCAAUUUUCAUAAUUUGAGAACCUACAUGAUAUCCUCGGGAUAUUAUAGGGACCUUUUGGUGCGCUUUAGAGCAUCUCCCGCCAUUGGCCCCCCAGGAGGCACAAAAAUCGGAGCCUGGGGGCGAGCCGGCGGCAUAAUCGGCUGUGGGGGCGGUUGGGUACCCAGCCGUCACCCCCAGGCCCCGAUAUUGGCCCAUUUUCGGCGGAAAUGUGCCCGCUUUUGACCCACUUUCGGCGAAAAAUGGCCCGAUAUCGGCGCGAAUCAGCCCAUAUUCGCUGUGGUUCCGCGUGAAUUCAACAUACGUAUUUUUUUAUCACAUAGUUCAUCACAGAAAAUCAAUAGAAAUCGAAUAGUUCAAUACAAAUUAUAUAGUUCAACAAAUAAAAACUCAUAUUUCAUCACACGUCGAGCUAGGCGUUGCCCUUGAGCCUCCAUAGGUGCUCCACCAGAUCCUGCUGCAGUUGUUGAUGCACCUGUGGGUCUCGGAUCUCCUGACGCAUAUCGAGGAAGGUAGUCCAGGUUGCCGGUAGCUGAUGAUCAACUUGUGCAAGAGGACCCUGCCUGUAAUAGGUUCAGUGUCAAACACUGGCUCUUCCUGCUCGCUCUCAAUGAUCAUGUUGUGUAAAAUGACACAGCAAUUCAUGAUCUCCCACAUUUGAUCUUUCGACCAUGUCUGAGCAGGGUACCGGACAACAGCAAAUCGAGAUUGGAGCACACCAAAGGCCCGCUCGACAUCCUUCCUGCAAGCGUCCUAAACCUUCGCAAAGUGGGACUUCUUCCCUCUUGGCACAUCGUUUGAGAUAGUCUUCACAAAUGUAGACCAUCUCAGAUAGAUGCCAUCAGCUAGGUAGUACCCCUUGUUGUAGUGCCGCCCAUUAACCUCGAAGUACACCGGAGGAGAAUGACCUUCAACAAGCUUGGCAAAGACAGGGGAGCACUGUUGGAAAUAUGCCCUAGAGGCAAUAAUAAAUUGGUUAUUAUUAUAUUUCCUUGUUCAUGAUAAUCGUUUAUUAUCCAUGCUAAAAUUGUAUUGAUAGGAAACUCAGAUACAUGUGUGGAUACAUAGACAACACCAUGUCCCUAGUAAGCCUCUAGUUGACUAGCUCGUUGAUCAAUAGAUGGUUACGGUUUCCUGACCAUGGACAUUGGAUGUCGUUGAUAACGGGAUCACAUCAUUAGGAGAAUGAUGUGAUGGACAAGACCCAAUCCUAAGCCUAGCACAAGAUCGUGUAGUUCGUUUGCUAAGAGCUUUUCUAAUGUCAAGUAUCAUUUCCUUAGACCAUGAGAUUGUGCAACUCCCGGAUACCGUAGGAAUGCUUUGGGUGUACCAAACGUCACAACGUAACUGGGUGGCUAUAAAGGUGCACUACAGGUAUCUCCGAAAGUGUCUGUUGGGUUGGCACGAAUCGAGACUGGGAUUUGUCACUCCGUGUAAACGGAGAGGUAUCUCUGGGCCCACUCGGUAGGACAUCAUCAUAGUGUGCACAAUGUGACCAAGGAGUUGAUCACGGGAUGAUGUGUUGCGGAACGAGUAAAGAGACUUGCCGGUAACGAGAUUGAACAAGGUAUCGGGAUACCGACGAUCGAAUCUCGGGCAAGUAACAUACCGAUUAACAAAAGGGAAUUGUAUACGGGAUUGAUUGAAUCCCCGACAUCGUGGUUCAUCCGAUGAGAUCAUCGUGGAACAUGUGGGAGCCAACAUGGGUAUCCAGAUCCCGCUGUUGGUUAUUGGCCGGAGAACGUCUCGGUCAUGUCUGCAUGGUUCCCGAACCCGUAGGGUCUACACACUUAAGGUUCGCUGACGCUAGGGUUAUAGGGAAUAGAUAUACGUGGUUACCGAAUGUUGUUCGGAGUCCCGGAUGAGAUCCCGGACGUCACGAGGAGUUCCAGAAUGGUCCGGAGGUAUAGAUUUAUAUAUGGGAAGUCCUGUUUUGGUCACCGGAAAAGUUUCGGGUGCUAUCGGUAAUGUACCGGGACCACCGGGAGGGUCCCGGGGGUCCACCAGGUGGGGCCACCGGCCCCAGAGGGCUGCGUGGGCCAAGUGUGGGAAGGGACCAGCCCCUAGGUGGGCUGGUGCGCCUCCCACAAGGGGCCCAAGGCGCAGGGAAGGGGGGAAGGGGGAAACCCUAGGCUCAGAUGGGCCUAAGACCCACCUAGUGGUGCGCCCCCCUCUCUCCCCCCUGGCCGCCCCUCCAAGUCCCAUCUAGGGCUGGCCGCACCCCUUUGGGGGAACCCUAGAUGGGGGCGCAGCCCCUUCCCCUCCCCUAUAUAUAGUGGGGGUUUUGGGGCUGCCAUAGACAUGAGACUUCCUCUCUCUUUGGCGCAGCCCUACCCCUCUCCCUCCUCGUCUCUCGCAGUGCUUGGCGAAGCCCUGCUGGAGUGCCACGCUCCUCCAUCACCACCAUGCCGUUGUGCUGCUGCUGGACGGAGUCUUCCCCAACCUCUCCCUCUCUCCUUGCUGGAUCAAGGCGUGGGAGACGUCACCGGGCUGCACGUGUGUUGAACGCGGAGGCACCGUUCUUCGGUGCUUAGAUCGGAAUCAACCGCGAUCUGAAUCGCUACGAGUACGACUCCUUCAUCCGCGUUCUUGCAAUGCUUCCGAUUAGCGAUCUACAAUGGUAUGUAGAUGCACUCCCCUUCCCCUCGUUGCUAGAUUACUCCAUAGAUUGGUCUUGGUGAUGCGUAGAAAAUUUUGAAUUUCUGCUACGUUCCCCAACAGUGGCAUCAUGAGCUAGGUCUAUGCGUAGUUUCUAUGCACGAGUAGAACACAAAGUAGUUGUGGGCGUCGAUUUUGUCAAUUUACUUGCCGUUACUAGUCUUAUCUUGAUUCGGCGGCAUCGUGGGAUGAAGCGGCCCGGACCGACCUUACACGUACACUUACGUGAGACAGGUUCCACCGACUGACAUGCACUAGUUGCAUAAGGUGGCUAGCGGGGUGUCUCUCUCUCCCACUUUAGUCGGAUCGGAUUCGAUGAAAAGGGUCCUUAUGAAGGGUAAAUAGAAAUUGGCAUAUCACGUUGUGGCUUUUGCGUAGGUAAGAAACGUUCUUGCUAGAAUCCCAUAGCAGCCACGUAAAACAUGCAACAACAAUUAGAGGACGUCUAACUUGUUUUUGUAGGGUAUGCUAUGUGAUGUGAUAUGGCCAAAAGGAUGUGAUGAAUGAUAUAUGUGAUGUAUGAGAUUGAUCAUGUUCUUGUAAUAGGAAUCACGACUUGCAUGUCGAUGAGUAUGACAACCGACAGGAGCCAUAGGAGUUGUCUUAAUUUAUUGUAUGACCUGCGUGUCAAAUGAAAACGCCAUGUAAUUACUUUACUUUAUUGCUAACCGUUAGCCAUAGUAGUAGAAGUAAUAGUUGGCGAGACAACUUCAUGAAGACACGAUGAUGGAGAUCAUGAUGAUGGAGAUCAUGGUGUCAUGCCGGUGACGAAGGUGAUCAUGCCGCGCCUCGAAGAUGGAGAUCAAAGGCGCAAGAUGAUAUUGGCCAUAUCACGUCACUUUAUGAUUUGCAUGUGAUGUUUGUCAUGUUUACAUCUUAUUUGCUUAGAACGACGGUAGCAUGAAUAAGAUGAUCCCUCACUAAAAUUUCAAGAGACGUGUUCCCCCUAACUGUGCACCGUUGCGAAGGUUCGUUGUUUCGAAGCACCACGUGAUGAUCGGGUGUGAUAGAUUCUAACGUUCGAAUACGACGGGUGUUGACGAGCCUAGCAUGUACAGACAUGGCCUCGGAACACAUGCGAAACACUUAGGUUGACUUGACGAGCCUAGCAUGUACAGACAUGGCCUCGGAACACAAGAGAUCGAAAGGUCGAACAUGAGUCGUAUACUAGAUGCGAUCAACAUGGAGAUGUUCACCGAUGAUGACUAGUCCGUCUCACGUGAUGAUCGGACACGACCUAGUUUGACUCGGAUCAUGUAUCACUUAGAUGACUAGAGGGAUGUCUAUCUGAGUGGGAGUUCAUUAAAUAAUCAGAUUAACUUAAUUAUCAUGAACAUAGUCAAAAGGUCUUUGCAAAUUAUGUGAUAGCUUACGCUUUAGUUCUACUAUUUAAGAUAUGUUCCUAGAGAAAAUUUAGUUGAAAGUUGAUAGUAGCAAUUAUGCGGACUGGGUCCAUAAACUGAGGAUUGUCCUCAUUGCUGCACAGAAGGCUUAUGUCCUUAAUGCACCGCUCGGUGUGCUGAACCUCAGCAUCGUCUGUAGAUGUUGCGAAACAUCUGACAUACACGUUUUGAUGACUACGUGAUAGUUCAGUGCGUAAUGCUAAUGGUUUAGAAUUGUGGCACCAAAGACGUUUUUGAAACGUCGCAGAACAUAUGAGAUGUUCCGAAGACUGAAAUUGGGAUUUCAGACUAGUGCCCACAUCAAGAGGUAUGAGACCUCUGACAAGUUUCUUAAGCCUGCAAACUAAGGGAGAAAAGCUCAAUCGUUGAGCAUGUGCUCAGAUUGUCUGAGUACCACAAUCGCUUGAAUCGAGUGGGAGUUAAUCUUCCAGAUGAGACAGUGAUGGUUCUCCAUAGUCACUGCCACCAAGCUAUUAGAGCUUCGCGAUGAACUAUAACAUAUCAGGGAUAGAUAUGAUGAUCCUUGAGCUAUUCGCGAUGUUUGACACCGCGAAAAUAGAAAUCAAAUAGGAGCAUCAAUUGUUGAUGGUUAGUAAAACCACUAGUUUCUAUAAAGGCAAGGGCAGAAGGGAUACUUCAUGAAACAGCAAAUCAUUUGCUGCUCUAGUGAAGAAUCCCAAGGUUGAACCCAAACCCGAGACUAAGUGCUUCUGUAAUGAGGGGAACGGUCACUGAAGCAAAACUACCCUAGACACUUGGUAGAUGAGAAGGCAGGCAAGGUCGACAGAAGUAUAUUGGAUAUACAUUAUAUGAAUGUGUACUUUACUAGUAGUCCUAGCAGCACCAGGGUAUUAGAUACCGGUUCGGUUGCUAAGUGUUAGUAACUCGAAAUAAAAGCUGCGGAAUAAACGGAGACUAGCUAAAGGUGAGAUGACGAUAUGUGUUGGAAGUGUUUCCAAGGUUGAUGUGAUCAAGCAUCGCAUGCUCCCUCUACCAUCGAGAUUGGUGUUUGUGUUGAGCAUAAACAUGAUUGGAUUAUGUUUAUCGCAAUACGGUUAUUCAUUUAAGGAGAAUAAUGGUUACUCUGUUUAUUUGAAUAAUACCUUCAAUGGUCUUGCACCUAAAAUGAAUCUCGAUCGCAGUGAUACACAUGUUCGUGCCAAAAGAUAUAAAAUAGUAAUGAUAGUACCACAUACUUGUGGCACUUCCAUUUGAGUCAUAUUGGUAUAGAACGCAUGAAGAAGCUCCAUGUAGAUGGAACUUCGGACUCACUCGUUUUUGAAAAGAUUGAGACAUGCGAACCAUGUCUAUUGGUAUAUAUGCAUGAAGAAACUCCAUGCAGAUGGAUCGUUUGGACUCACUUGAUUUUGAAUCACUUGAGACAUGGUAAUCAUACCACAUGGGCAAGAUGACUGAAAGGCCUCGUUUUCAGUGAGAUGGAACAAGAGAGCAACUUAUUGGAAGCAAUACAUUUUGAUGUAUGCAGUCCAAUGAGUGCUGAGGCAUGCAGUGGAUAUCGUUAUGUUCUUACUUCACAGAUGAUUUGAGUAGAUGCUGAGUGUAUUUACUUGAUGAAACACAAGUCUGAAUUAUUGAAAGGUUCAAGUAAUUUCAGAGUGAAGUUGAAGAUCGUCGUGACAAGAGGAUAAAAUGUCUAUGAUAUGAUCAUAGAGAUAUCUGAGUUACGAGUUUGGCACACAAUUAAGACAUUGUGGAAAGUGUUUCACAAUUAAUACCGCCUGGAACACCACAGUGUGAUGGUGUGUCCGAACAUCAUAACUGCACCCUAUUGGAUAUGGUGCAUACCAUGAUGUCUCUUUACCACUAUCGUUUAUGGGUUAGGCAUUAGAGACAACCGCAUUCACUUUAAAUAGGGCACCACGCAAUUCCGUUGAGACGACACCGUUUAGAGAAACCUAAGUUGUCGUUUCUUAAAAGUUUGGGGCUGUGAUGCUUAUGUGAAAAAGUUUCAGGAUGAUAAGCUCGAACCCAAAGCAGAUAAAUGCAUCUUCAUAGAAUACCCAAAACAGUUGGGUAUACCUCCUGUUUCAGAUCUGGAAGUAAACAGGUCCUUUCUCGAGAAAAAGUUUCUCUCGAAAGAAUUGAGUGGGAGGAUGGUGGAGACUUGAUGAGGUUAAUGAACCAUGACUUCAACUAGUGUGUAGCAGGGCACAGGAAGUUGUUCCUGUGGCACCUACACCAAUUGAAGUGGAAGCUUAUGAUAGUGAUCAUGAAACUUCGGAUCAAGUCACUACCAAACCUCGUAGGUCGAUAAGGAUGCGUACUACUUCAGAGUGGUACGUAAUCCUGUCUUGGAAGUCAUGUUGCUAGACAACAAUGAACCUACGAGCUAUGAAGAAGCGAUGGUGGGCCCGGAUUCCGACGAAUGGCUCGAGGCCAUGAAAUCCGAGAGAGGAUCCAUGUAUAAAACAAGGUAUAGACUUUGGAAGAAAUACUUGAUGGUCGUAAGGCUGUUGGGUGCAGAUGGAUUUUAAAAGGAAGACAGACAAUAAUGGUAAGUGUCACCAUUAAGAAAGCUCGACUUGUCGUUAAGAUGUUUUUCGACAAGUUCAAGGAGUUGACUACGAUGAGAUUUUUCUCACUCAUAGCGAUGCUAAGAGUCUGUUGGAAUUGUAUUAGCAGUUACUGCAUUAUUUAUGAAAUCUUGCAGAUAGGAUGUCAAAAACAUUGUUUCCUCGACGAUUUUCUAGAGGAAAGGUUGUAUGUGAUACAACCAGAAGGUUUUUGUCAAUCCUGAAAGAUGCUAACAAGUAUGCAAAGCUCCAGCAAUCCUUCUAAGGACUGGAGUAAGCAUCUCGGAGUUGGAAUGUACGCUUUGAUGAGAUGAUCAAAGAUUUUGGGUUUAUACAAGGUUUAUGAGAAACUUGUAUUUCCAAAGAAGUGAGUGGGAGCACUAUAGAAUUUUUGAUGAGUAUAUGUUGUUAACAUAUUGAUGAUCAGAAAUGAUGUAGAAUUUCUGGAAAGCAUACAGGGUUAUUUGAAAAGUGUUUUAAUGGAAAACCUGGAUUAAGCUACUUGAACAUUGAGCAUCAAGAUCUAUAAGGAUAGAUCAAAAAACGCUUAAUAGUACUUUCAAAUGAAUACAUACCGUGACAAGUUUUUGAAGGAGUUCAAAAUAGAUUAGCAAAGAAGGAGUUCUUGGCUGUGUUACAAGGUGUGAGUGUUGAGUAAGACUCAAGACCUGACCACAGCAGAUGAGAGAGAAAGGACGAAGGUCGUCCCCUAUGCUUUAGACGUAGGCUCUACAGUAUGCUAUGCUGUGUACCGCACAUGAAGUGUGCCUUGCCAUGAGUUGGUCAAGGGGUACAAUAGUGAUCCGGGAAUGGAUCACAUGACAGCGGUCGAACUUAUCCUUAGUAUCUAGUAGACUAAGGAAUUUUCUCGAUUAUGGAGGUGAAAAGGAGUUCGUCGUAAAGGGUUACGUCGAUGCAAACUUUGACACUAAUCCGGAUGACUCUGAGUAAAGCGGACUCGUAUAUAGAGCAGUUAUUUGGUAUGGCUUCAAGUAAAGCGUGGUAGCUGCAUCUACAAGAUGACAUAGAUAUUCGUAAAGCACACACGGAUCUGAAAGGUUCAGACCCGUUGACUAAUAACCUCUCUCACAAGCGAGAUAUGAACAAACCCCAUGGGUGUUAGAUUCAUUACAAUCACAUGGUGAUGUGAACUAGAUUAUUGACUCUAGUAAACUCUUGGGUAUUAAUCACAUGGCGAUGUGAACUAGAUUAUUGACUCUAGUGCAAGUGGGAGACUGUUGGAAAUAUGCCCUAGAGGCAAUAAUAAAUUGGUUAUUAUUAUAUUUCCUUGUUCAUGAUAAUCGUUUAUUAUCCAUGCUAAAAUUGUAUUGAUAGGAAACUCAGAUACAUGUGUGGAUACAUAGACAACACCAUGUCCCUAGUAAGCCUCUAGUUGACUAGCUCGUUUAUCAAUAGAUGGUUACGGUUUCCUGACCAUGGACAUUGGAUGUCGUUGAUAACGGGAUCACAUCAUUAGGAGAAUGAUGUGAUGGACAAGACCCAAUCCUAAGCCUAGCACAAGAUCGUGUAGUUCGUUUGCUAAGAGCUUUUCUAAUGUCAAGUAUCAUUUCCUUAGACCAUGAGAUUGUGCAACUCCCGGAUACCGUAGGAAUGCUUUGGGUCUACCAAACGUCACAACGUAACUGAGUGGCUAUAAAGGUGCACUACAGGUAUCUCCGAAAGUGUCUGUUGGGUUGGCACGAAUCGAGACUGGGAUUUGUCACUCCGUGUAAACGGAGAGGUAUCUCUGGGCCCACUCUGUAGGACAUCAUCAUAAUGUGCACAAUGUGACCAAGGAGUUGAUCACGGGAUGAUGUGUUGCGGAACGAGUAAAGAGACUUGCCGGUAACGAGAUUGAACAAGGUAUCGGGAUACCGACGAUCGAAUCUCGGGCAAGUAACAUACCGAUUGACAAAGGGAAUUGUAUACGGGAUUGAUUGAAUCCCCGACAUCGUGGUUCAUCCGAUGAGAUCAUCGUGGAACAUGUGGGAGCCAACAUGGGUAUCCAUAUCCCGCUGUUGGUUAUUGGCCGGAGAACGCCUCGGUCAUGUCUGCAUGGUUCCCGAACCCGUAGGGUCUACACACUUAAGGUUCGCUGACGCUAGGGUUAUAGGGAAUAGAUAUACGUGGUUACUGAAUGUUGUUCGGAGUCCCGGAUGAGAUCCCGGACGUCACGAGGAGUUCCGGAAUGGUCCGGAGGUAAAGAUUUAUAUAUGGGAAGUCCUGUUUUGGUCACCGGAAAAGUUUCAGAUGCUAUCGGUAAUGUACCGGGACCACCGGGAGGGUCCCGGGGGUCCACCAGGUGGGGCCACCGGCCCCAGAGGGCUGCGUGGGCCAAGUGUGGGAAGGGACCAGCCCCUAGGUGGGCUGGUGCGCCUCCCACAAGGGGCCCAAGGCGCAGGGAAGGGGGGAAGGGGGAAACCCUAGGCUCAGAUGGGCCUAAGGCCCGCCUAGUGGUGCGCCCCCCUCUCUCCCCCCUUGGCCGCCCCUCCAAGUCCCAUCUAGGGCUGGCCGCACCCCUUUGGGGGAACCCUAGAUGGGGGCGCAGCCCCUUCCCCUCCCCUAUAUAUAGUGGGGGUUUUGGGGCUGCCAUAGACAUGAGACUUCCUCUCUCUUUGGCGCAGCCCUACCCCUCUCCCUCCUCGUCUCUCGCAGUGCUUGGCGAAGCCCUGCUGGAGUGCCACGCUCCUCCAUCACCACCAUGCCAUUGUGCUGCUGCUGGACGGAGUCUUCCCCAACCUCUCCCUCUCUCCUUGCUGGAUCAAGGCGUGGGAGACGUCACCGGGCUGCACGUGUGUUGAACGCGGAGGCACCGCUCUUCGGUGCUUAGAUCGGAAUCAACCGCGAUCUGAAUCGCUACGAGUACGACUCCUUCAUCCGCGUUCUUGCAACGCUUCCGCUUAGCGAUCUACAAUGGUAUGUAGAUGCACUCCCCUUCCCCUCGUUGGUAGAUUACUCCAUAGAUUGAUCUUGGUGAUGCGUGGAAAAUUUUGAAUUUCUGCUACGUUCCCCAACAAGCACUGCAACACGUUGAUGUCAUUGUGAGUUCCUGGCAUACCAAAGAAAGAGUGCCUAAUCCAGAGCUCCUGCGUGGCCACCGCCUCAAGUACCACACUGCAACCGCCUUUGCUGCCUUUUUACAUCCCCUGCCAAGCAAAUCGGCGGUUCUUCCAUUUUCAAUGCAUGCAGUGGAUGCUUCCAAGCAUCCCAGAAAAUCCUCUUGCUGCAUUAUGUGCUAGGAUUCGAGCAGUGUCUUCCGCAUUGGGUAUUCGCAAGUAUUGCGGUCAAAACACUGCCACCACUGCCCUGCAGAACUUGUAGAAACACUCAAUGGUUGUGGACUCGGCCAUGCGCCCAUAGUCGUCGAGUGAAUCACCGGGAGCUCCGUAUGCAAGCAUCCUCAUAGCUGUCGUGCAGUUCUAGAUUGAGGUGAAUCCAAGUUUGCCGGUGCAAUCCUUCUUGCACCUGAAGUAGCUGUCGAACUCCCGGAUGGAAUUCACAAUCCUGAGGAAAUGCUUUCGACUCAUCCGAUAACGGCGCCGAAAUACUUUGUCGCCGUGCAGCGGAGCGUCGGCGAAGUAGUCGGAGUAGAGCAUGCAAUAGCCUUCCAAACGAUGCCGAUUCUUUGCUUUCAGCCACCCCGACGUCGAGCCACCUCGCCGCGGCUUUUCAUUGCUCACGAGCAGGCCGGCGAGGGCGGCGAGGUGUUCCUUGUCCUGGACGUCGGCACCGGCUUCCUCUUGCAGCAGCGCCGCGAGCGCCUCCUCGUCAUCCGAGUCCAUCGCAGAGCAGACAAAAUGCCGAACACCCGGCGGGCGUGGUGGGCGCACACCCGCCGGUAUACCACCCUGCGUGGCUGGAGCGCCGAAAUACUCGCCCGGACGGCGGUGGAGAGGCUGCCGCGGCGAAACCUUCACUCUUUUCCGGUGGGGAAUGGCCUAUCUAGCGGUGCUGGGCGGUGGGCGGCGCUGGGAUCGGCAGGGUGGUGGCCGAGCGUGCGGGGGGUGGGGGGCGAAUCUGGACAAUUGGCUUGACUUUUCGUCUGACAGUGUGGCCCAGGCGUGUUUUCCCCUUCCGCCGGAGCCCCCGAGCGCCCAAGUACGCUGGGUUCGGCCUGCGAUCGCCGGGCCCAGAAACGGGCCGAGCCGGCGGAUUUCGGCGUCUUGGGGACGCGAGUGGGGGUGUUUUGGCGCUGGUGCGUAAAAAGGCGUCCUGGGGGACCUGUUGGGGACGCGGCUGGAGAUGCUCUUACUCACGCUAGGAAAAAGAGAGAGAGGGUGAGAUAAACCCGAAACCGGCGCUGGCGCCGGGCUACCACUGGGCAGGGAUGAUUGUUUAGCCCCCGCGAGGGAGGGAGAGAGGGAAUCGGAUUCCAGUCCGCCGUAAACCGGCAGCGAUUUUUAUAGUCCUACAAAUAGUAGUCUCCUACUAGUGAUCCAAUCCAGAUGAUGCCCACGGAGUGGCUCUGCGGCGGGUAGGAUUGUAGGACAGUACCCUUCCGAUGGGCGAGCCAGUCGGCCGGUCCAAGGGGCAGUGUGAAGUGGCGCCCGGCCGGAUCUGGAGCGCAUGGUCGCAUGGAUCGAUGGAGCAACCCAGCAAGCAAGAGGCUGCCGCUGUGGCUUGACGGUCAGUCUCUGGCUGCUGUGUUGCCUUGCCGCACGUGCAGCUGCGCGAUCGCCCCGACGCGGCUGCCUCCGUGCCCUUUGGCGCGCGCCCAGGAACCGGCCUCCCCGGGGUGACGCCCGCCGCGCGCGCGCGGUUGCCCUUUGGCUCGCCGGUCAGGCGGGCAGGCAGAGACGCGGCCGGUGGGCGCCGUGCGCUCUGCGCCGCUAGUUUCCCCGAGCUCCACUGUGCGCCGUACGUGGAGACGCUGUGGGAAGAGGGAUGAGCGCCCGCCGGUUGGUGGCGUGAGGUGAGGUUUUUUGAUCGUAGUCGUAGUCGUACGGGCGUGCGUAUACGCGGUCGACAGCGACUGCUACGGCCAGCGAUGGACGUUGACACUGACACGCGACGCGACGGGCGGGGAGCCGGGGAGAGGCCGAGGGCCAACGUACCGACCCGGCAUAUGCUUGGAAACUCUGAAUUUAUCUACACGUAGGCCAAGCGAGGGAGCGCUGGCUCGCUCCAUCGGUUUCGUUCGGUUUGGUUGGACCUCCUGAGGCGAGCCCUGACAUGUGAAGCGUGUGUUAUCCUCCGCGUGUGACGCAUGGCUCCCCGCCAUUAGCAGCCACGCACCGGCCUCCGCCCGCCACGGUACAUACGCUGCAGCCGCCGUGCGUGCGUGCAUGGCUCCUCGGAAGCAGGAAGGGCCGCGGUCCGUGCGCGCGCGCGCGCGCUGCUCUGCCUGGCCAUCCAAGGAGAGGCGCGCUAGGGCCAGUAGCUAGGGCGCAGGCACGCCAAGAGGCGCCAUUGUGCAAUGGCUGGCAGGCACGCCCAUCCCAUGCACGUACACCUACUACUCGGCUACUCCUCCUACUAGUACUACUACUGCCGGCCCGUUGCUCCAUCCGCAGUGAACAGCCAUGGACUGCGAUGCGGUGCUGUGCGACUUGAAAGCGCCAAGAGGCAAAGGCCCUUUGCCCAAUCGGGAGGCUGCCUCGUGCAGCUGGCUAUCUCGCUUCUUGGAUCUUUCGCCCAUAUUUAUAAGAUAUGUGUGUGCGUUUUUCCAUUUCCAGGCGCCAGCAAGCGCUUUUUAUAUAAGAGAAUAUAAAUACAACAACUGCUACGUAGUAGUACUCCUGGUGGCUGGCAACGAGCCAGCCGUUCAUCCAGCGGCUUCGGAUCGGGAACCGAUGAGCAUGCUGGUGCCCGUGCCACAUGCUCGAUCUAUGUCUAUGUCUAGAUCGGAUCACCAGCUUCUUCUCCGCUGUAUGGAUCUCUACACUGUCUGAUUCCGAAUCUGACACUCAUCUCUCACAGAAUAUAUACAUCAUGUCAAGUUGUAAACGAAUUCUGAGCAGCGCCAAUGAUCGAUGGGAUCUAGCAGUGUUUCUCCAUGUUAGAUUCAUCGCGUCUUCCGGUACGCACUAGAAAUAUGUAUGCGUACGGGGAUUGGCAAUGCACGUGGGGGGCACGUCUCAUCACAACGUAUGUACUGACGUAAAAUGAACUCCUAUCUGGUUUACUUGACGAAAAUCAAGGGGAAACCCCUUUUGCUCAACAAAAUAAAAACAUAUGGACUGACAUAAGUGCAUGCACCGUUAAAUACGCAAAGUAUACUACUCUCUCCGUCUCAUAAUGUAAAAACGUUUUUGACACUACACUAGCGUCAAAAACGCUUUUAUAUUAUGAGACGGAGGGAUGGUCCUCAUACUACUCGAGCUCGAGCUGCGAUGUUGUUCGAUUUUUCCUUCCAAAAGGGAAGACCUAGCUAAUUACUAGCACUAAUCUGAAGCUUAGUUGGCCUCAUUGCCUACCUGGGGUCACUGCGUGCUCAAAUCCAAAGGCCGUCUUCAUGCAUGGGGCAGGCUUAAUUGGGAGAGCCGAUGUAGUAUAAAGUACGUUGUGCUAUGAUUAACUUUUGUUGUAGUGUUCCAUUAUUUAUAUAAAUGUCACUCAUUAGGACCAUGAUCUUAGUAACUUUUGUUUGCGCUCCAUUUUGUAUACAAGUGUCACCCAUUAGGAUCAUGAUCUCAGUAACCCCAUCCAUUCUUUUAUGUGCCCUUUUCGGAUAUCCAAUGCAGAUCCUGUCUGGGCUUUUCUAACUACAUGUAAAGCUACAUUAUUAAAGCCUAAUGUUGUAUACUAAUAAGCAUGCGAGGACAAAUCUCAAGUUGAAAAAAAUCAAAUCAAUCAAUGUAUGUCCUUGUAUCGCUCUACUUCCCUUGUAUGUAUACUAUGUAUGUAAGGAUAUCUCCAAUGUAAGCCCUCAAAACGGACACCACAGAUGUCCGGAUGAGAGAGAGAGAGAGAUAGAUAAAGAUACAUACAUAUAUAUAUAUAUAUAGAGAGAGAUAGAUAGAGAGAUAGAGAGAUAGAUAGAUAGAUGGAUAGAUAGAGUGAGAGAGAUAGAGAUAGAUAGAUAGAUAGAGAGGGAGAGAUAGAUAGAGAUAUAUAGAUAGAUAGAUAGAUUAGAUAGAUAGAUAGAUAGAUAGAUAGAUAGAUAGAUAGAGAGAGAGAUAGAUAGAUAGAUAGAUAGAUAGAGUGAUAGAUAGAUAGAUAGAUAGAGUGAUAGAUAGAUAGAUAGAUAGAUAGAUAUAGAGGUAGAUAUAGAGGUAGAUAGAGAGAUNNNNNNNNNNNNNNNNNNNNNNNNNNNNNNNNNNNNNNNNNNNNNNNNNNNNNNNNNNNNNNNNNNNNNNNNNNNNNNNNNNNNNNNNNNNNNNNNNNNNNNNNNNNNNNNNNNNNNNNNNNNNNNNNNNNNNNNNNNNNNNNNNNNNNNNNNNNNNNNNNNNNNNNNNNNNNNNNNNNNNNNNNNNNNNNNNNNNNNNNNNNNNNNNNNNNNNNNNNNNNNNNNNNNNNNNNNNNNNNNNNNNNNNNNNNNNNNNNNNNNNNNNNNNNNNNNNNNNNNNNNNNNNNNNNNNNNNNNNNNNNNNNNNNNNNNNNNNNNNNNNNNNNNNNNNNNNNNNNNNNNNNNNNNNNNNNNNNNNNNNNNNNNNNNNNNNNNNNNNNNNNNNNNNNNNNNNNNNNNNNNNNNNNNNNNNNNNNNNNNNNNNNNNNNNNNNNNNNNNNNNNNNNNNNNNNNNNNNNNNNNNNNNNNNNNNNNNNNGAUGGAGAUAGAUAGAUAGAGUGAUAGAGUGAGAGAAAGAUAGAGAUAGAUAGAUAGAGAGGCAUAGAGAUAGAUAGAGAUAUAGAGAGGGAUAGAUGGAUAGAUAGAUAGAGAGAGAAAUAGAUAGAUAGAUAGAUAGAGUGAUAGAGUGAGAUAGAGAUAGAGAUAGAUAGAUAGAGAGUGAGAGAGAGAUAGAGAUAGAUAGAGAGAGAGAGAUAGAGAUAGAUAGAUAGAGUGAUAGAUAUCACUAGUAGAAAACUGGGCUUUGGUCACAGAGCAAUAUUCACAUUAGUCCCGGUUCAGUCAGGAACCGCGAACUGGGACUAAUGUGAGCAUUGGUCCCGGUUCGUGCGGCCAGGGGCCUGCCGGGCCUCGUGGGGGCAUUGGUCCCGGUUCGUCCGGACCCUUUGGUCCCGGUUGGUGGGACAAACCGGGACCAAUGGGCCACGCUCCUGGCCCACCACCCUUUAGUCCCGGUUCCUACCACAAACCGGGACUAAAGGGCUGGUCCUAGUUGCGGCCAGUGUUUAGUCCCACCUCGCCAACCGAAGGGCGCUCACACCAAUUUAUAAGCCCGUCCCUCUCUGCCUUGUUGAGCUCCUCUUAAAGUGAAAAUAGAUGCCCUUAUACAGGAAAUUUGACCUAAAUUCACAGUAAAUUUCAUAGAAACUUAUUAUGAAUUUAGGUUGAAUUUCCUCUAUAAGCGCAUCUAUGUUCAUUUUUUAUAUUUAUAAAAUAAAUAAACCUUAAUAAAAUAAAUAAAAAUAAAUAAACCUUAAUAAAAUAAAAUAAAAUAAACUAUAGUAACUAAAAUAAAUAAACCUUAAUAAAUUAAGUAAAAAUAGCAGCAGUAAAAUAAAUAAAAAUAGCAGCAGUAAAAUAAAUAAAAAUAGAAUAAUUAAAGUAAAAUACAUAAGUAAUUAGAAAUAAAAUAAAUAAGUUUUUUGUUGUAAGUAGAAACAAAACAAAACAAAUAAAGCAAAAGAGAAAAAAAAUAGAGGAAAAAAAUUAUGCCACCUACUGGGCCACCACGGCCUGAAUACGACUAGAAACCCAUCCAUGGGCCAGGAUUCAGGCCCGCAGAAGGCUCAGUAGGCUCCACAGGCAAAGAGAACGGUUAGGCCCGAAAGCCUGCAGUUGAGAGGAGUUCGAGAGGGUGGGUGCAGCAGCGCUUAUAAACCACUCUCGAGCUCUCUCAACUAGCGAGGUGGGACUAAACUUUUGACGCGGGGCAGCACAAGGCCUUUGGUCCCGGUUGGUGCCACUAACCGGGACUAAAGGGGGCAUUGGU
Molecule: long non-coding RNA, 52214 nt
Filed under: Triticum aestivum (bread wheat)
Lineage: Eukaryota; Viridiplantae; Streptophyta; Magnoliopsida; Poales; Poaceae
Description: long non-coding RNA (TAES_LNC012829)
Rfam family: MIR1120/MIR1122 microRNA precursor family (bases 15999-16133)
Source: RNAcentral